CAAUUUAUUAGAUGUGAGCAAUUAGUAGACAAAAUUAAGCUCGAAAUCAUCAGAUAGUUCUGUAAUACUACUAAUGUUUUGGACAACUGGAACCGAAUCCUUAAGAUUCUCAACUGUAACAUGAUUUCAUCUUCGUUAUUUGACUUUUUAUGGUCAUAGACUCAUGCAUAUUAACUCUCACAGUAAAGUUUACGGAAACGAAGGCACCUCAUCUUUAAAUUUAAACCAACUUGUUAAAUAAAUAUAACUCGUAAGAGUGUCUAAUUACUCUACUUAUCAAAAAGUUUAAUUAAUUAAUUAGCACAACACACUUCCGACUUACUAUACUCAUUAAGUCAUUAUUAAUACGGUAAACUUCCACUCACACAUUACCCAAUAAACCUUUCAAUUGUGAUAAUACUAUUAGAUUACUUUUGAUUUUAUCCAAAUUUGACAGUACUUCAUCAUAGUAACGCGUUUUCUAACUUUGUCGGAAGACGACUUUAUUAGGGAACACACUUUUAGUUCACAAAAUGCUAAUAAAACCUAAACUACCUGACAGUUUAGGCUUUUAGCUAUAUCAACAGAAAAACUUACUACAUGUUUUGAUGAAUUUAGCUCCACAAGAAACAAGAGGAGUGUUACGAAGCACGUCGUGGCUGUGUGCAUGGAGCUUCUAAACUUAUUAUCUAUUCCAACGUGCAUUGAGCUUAUAAAAUGAAUUAACAAAAAAGAUUUAGUAAUAUGUUAUGGAAUUAGAUUUUUCCACCAAAAACCAAGUUUUUUUCUUCUGUUGAAAUCCCGUAACUACCACGUCCUCUGGAUGCGUCGCCCAUACCUUUUUAUUCACUCAUCUUCGGGGUUCAUAUAUUAACUUUACUUUGACUAUAUGCGACAUAGAUACCUACUUAUAUAGUACUUCAUUUUUUCUUAAUAUCUAUACAUUAAUGAACUAUACUAGCUUGUAAAUGCACAUGGUAUCGAAUUUCUUUACACAUCUAAGAGUGUUCAAUUUGGUUUUGUUUACAGUUUGGCUCGUUAAUUUUUUUUCUGGUAUUUUGGUUUAUAAGAAAUGGUUACCAUAUCAAAACUAUAUUUUUUGGUUUGGUUCAAAUAAUAUACUUUUAGUUUUUGGUUUCUUCGAUUUUUAUUUAUACCACAAAAUUAUAAUUAUAUUUAUUUUUAUAAUAUGUUAGAAAUUUCAGUUUAUAUGAUUAUUAAAAUAUAAUAUAUUUUCAGUAAUUAUUUUUGAAAUAAAAUGAUUUUCUGUUUGACUUAACUAUUAAUUAAAAAUACACCUUCCGUUCCAAAAUGAUGUAUAUUUUAUAGUUUUAACACACAUUAAGAAAACAUGUUAAUAAAUGUAUUAAAUUUUGUGAUUAACUAGUUCCCAUAAUUUCUAGCCAAAUCAAAAUAUAGUAAACACAAAUAAUGUCUUCAUCAUUUACAAUUUACCAUUAUUAUAUGCAUGGAAUAUGUGAAAUAACUACUCCAUCAGUUUUACUUUAGUUGUCGUUUUAGAUUUAUGCACACAGAUUAAGAAAAUAUUUAAUUUUACAUAUUCCAAAAUAAAAACAUUAUUACUUAUACACCUAACCAUAUUUCAACCAAAAGAAAAAUAAAAUGGUGAAUUUAUUAUUAAAUUUUGCAUUGAAAACAUAAAACAACACUUAAAAUGAAACAAAAUUUUAACUCUAAAACGACAAAUAAAGAAACAAUUUUUUUUUUUUUUAUAAAAAAUGGAUUCUAUUGAAACAGAAUGAGUAAUAAUUUAAAAUAAAAAAUAAUUAUGAUAAUUUCUUAAAACAAAAAAUAAGAAAAAGUUAGUACUAUCAUAAUAUUAUUAAAUAAAUAAAAUUUAGCACAAAUAUAUGUCAAAAAUAAUAAAAUCUUAAAAUCAUAUCAAUAAUAAUAAAAACAAUAUAUAUAUAUAUAUGAUCAAUUGUAUUAUAUAACUUACAUAUAACUAUACUACUAUAUUUUAAUUAAUCAAUUUCUUUGAAAUUUUUGGUUUUAUCGGUUCAUAUACCAAAUCAUAUCUAUAUACCGCAUGUCUUUUUAAAUAGCGUUCAUUCGAUACUACCAAAUCCAUACAAUUUUAUCUAUUUGAGUUAGGUUGUUUUACUCGAUUAAACACUUACAUAUAGCAUUAAACUAAUGAAAAUAUUAGUUCCCAUUAAAACAAUACAGUGUUAAAACAUGGAUUUACCCACAAUAUCUUUACUAUUAUUUGCGAAGUGAUUUUUUGUAACGGAGAUCUCACGUUAAAAGUUAUAUCGGUUAAAGUCAAUGAUACCCUUAAUGAAUUUAUAUAUAUUUUUUAAAAUGAUAUAAAAUUAUCUAUUUAUUUGUGAAUUUAUUAUAUAAUUAAAAACGAAUUUAUAUUAAUAAUAAUUAUUUUUAAAUAGAUAAUUCUUAUAUAUUUUGUUGUUAUCUUAAAAUAAUUGUUUCUAUUAUAAAAGUUAAAAAAUAAGUAUAACACAAUUUCAAAAUUUUAAUACAAUAAUAAACAUAUUUUAAUGAUAAAUUUUGUCAUAUAUAAAUAAUUUAAUUGAUUUUAAAAAAUUUAAAUAUAAAUAAUAAAUUGUCAUGAUGGUUUUUGAAUUAAUAAGACAUAAAAUAAUAAAUAUUGGUAAGAAAAUUAGCAACAAAAUUUUCACGUUAAAAGUUAGAGCGAUUAAUAUCUAUAAUACCCUUAAUGAAUUUUAUAUAUAAUUAAUUAUAUAAUAAAAACUAAUUUUUAUUAAUAAUAUUAAAUUAAAACAUAUUUUUCAAUUAUAAAAUUUUUUAAAAAAAUAUAAAACAAUUAUAAUAAAUUAAUGGUUAAAGUCAAUAUUAUCUUUAAUAAAUUUUAAUUAAAAAUAUAUAUUUAAUUAGAUUUUUGUCAUAUAUAUAUUUAUGUUUGAUUUAUCUUUUUGAACAUAAAUAAUAAGUUACUAUGUUGGUUUUUGAAUUAAUAAAAAAUAAACUAAUAAAUAUUUGUAAAACGAUUAAGCUUGCAUAUGCGGGUAAGACACCUAGUACUAAUUAAAACACGAUCGAAGAGGCCAUUAAAAUACUCUUCAUUUUUGUGGUAAAAUAAAAAUAAAGAGUUCAGUAAAUGAUAAUUUCCUUCAGAAUAAGAGUCUUUGCAGAAUGCAUUUCGAAAUUUUGAACUUUCAAUAUAACAAAAAAUAGUUUCAAAAGAUAUAUAGCGAAAAAAUACCUGCAAAAAUGAGAAAGCUAUAUUUACAAUGUCAUUAUUAUAUGUCAACCCAGAGUUUAGUUUAUACUCCCUCUGUUCCUAAAAGAUCUAUGUUUUAGAAAACAAUUUUUUUUCAAAAAGAUAUAUUUUUCAUAUUUUCAAUGCAUAAAUUAAAUGUAAAUUGUAAACUUCAAAAAACAUAAUUGUAUUUAUUAAAAUUCUAUUGGUGAAAACAUGUGGGGAAUAGUUGAUUACGGAAAAUAAUGUAUUGGUAAAUAAAAUUUGAUAUAUUUUCUUAAUAAGUGUGAAAAUCCUAUAAUAUAUAUCUUUUAGAAACAGAGGGAGUAUUAGAUUAGUCAGUCGACUAAGGGUAAUAUAUUAUUCACUUCAUCUUAUAGCUCGAAAUUUGUUUGUUUGUUUGAUCUAGAAUCAGUUUGUAAGUUCCUACGAUGUUUCCUAUAGUUUCCAGAAGAUUGAUAUUGAUAUAUAGAACAAGUCAACGACUCCGGUCGUCUUUUGGAUGUAGACAAGCUUUAGAUCAUAUCUUAUUUUAUACGCUAUUAAGUAAAUAAUUGGUAGGUUAACUUAGGGUUUAAAUAUCAAAACAAAACUUAGCUAGGGUUUCAUAUUUUAAUCCCCAAAAUUAAGGGUUUAAUGUGACUGUAGCAACACGUGCCAGCAUUCAAAGAGAAAAAUCAGGAAAGUUUCUUGUAAAGUAAAGUAAACAAUAACAAAGAGCAUUAUGUCCAUCGUCUAAUGAUGCAACGAUGAUUGAAGCCUUGUUGUGAUAUUGCCGAUGUAUUUUUUUUUUAUAAUCUGGGGGUAUUCGAAUCCGAAGGCUCAACUAAUUUUCUGGAGGUCGGUUUUACCGGCGACAUUCAAACCAAUUGCUCUACGUAAGAGUUGGAUACCCAUACCGAUUGACCAUGUAGAUGGGUAAAUUUAAGUGGUAUGUUUCGAAUCUUGGAUAUUUACCAUUUUUCCAAACCCGUCGUGCCGAUGUACUUCUCAUGAAACAAAGUGCAAUUUUUUUUUAUCACAUUAAAACUUAAGAUUUUUUUUUCUUUUCCAAAACAUUAAGAAUUCAUAUAAAACAAAAACAAAUUUACCAAAGUAUUCAUUACUUAUAUUUAUAAAAAUAUUUGUACUUAAGCAAAAAAUAAUGCUUCUUUGCGAGACCCCUAGCAAAACAAUGCUUUAGUUCUAUAUAUCACCCAUUACGCUAGCUAGACAAUUUGUUCGAAAGUCAUUAACUACAUAACCAUAAUUGUUUUGACUUAUUCAAAUGGUGUAAGGCAAAUACAAGUCUUUGAAAGCAUGAAAUUUUCCAAUCCAACUUGCAUCCUCUGAUUUUAAAACGGCACGGAUCUCCUGUUUUUAAGAUUACAUAAGUCAAAAUCAUUAAUAGCUUGAUAUUUUUGUUCAAUAUGAUUAUAUUUUAACGAAGACGUGUUUGUUCAAAUGAUAUUUGAAUUAUACUCGUUCUACUUGUUGAUACAAAUAAUGAAAUACUAUACCACGAAACGAUUUAUUUGUACCACAUUGAUAUGUUUAACGCUGUUAAAUUUAGAGAGCAUGUCAAAUUUAUUUUUACGUCUUAUUUCUUCCACUAUAAAUAUCGUUUACAUUUAUUCAUACAUUUGUAAAUUAAAAAAAUAUUUUUCUCAAAGUUAUUUAUAACUUACACUAACUAUGUCCACGUUUCUGUCACUUUGUAAUUAUAUUAUUUAGAUACAAAUGCACCAUAUGAUGUUUGUAUCUCCAUUUUGGUAUAUAUAUGUACCAAACCCUUGAGAGUGACAGUGCCGUCUCAAGAUUAAUUAAAGGACAUGUUCAAAAAAAAAUAUUGCAGAUAAAUUUGACAUCUAAUAAAAUAAUUUUUAAAGUUUAUAGUUCUAUUUAUAUAUAUUUAAUAUCUAUUUUGAAAUUAUACAGUGAAUUUAGUAAUAUAUCUAAGAAAUUUAUAAAGUUUUAGACCAUAAUUUAUAUAUUUACUUUUAUAACAAUUCUUAAUAUUUUUUAUUUGUAGAUUCGGGUCAUGUUUGAUCGCUCUAUUUGCUCAUGCUAUUAGACGGUCAUGUUUGAGACUAAUAAUGAAUACUUAUCAUUUUAAAACUUGACUUUAUUGGAAAAAAAAACUUAAGACUUGCUGUAUCUGAAAUGUAUAUAGAAGGUUUUAGUUAAGGUUUUAAAUCUCUAAGUACAUAUAUAGCUUACGUGGUACCCCGUUCAUGUAACUAUUAGUAAACAUUUUGAUGUAUAUAUAUAACAACUAAUCUAUACACAUGGGUUUCUAACGAUUGGGUUUAGCUAAGCCACUAAGCCUAUGCCAAAUUGCCAACAUAAAGUUGAUCAUUUUAAGAAUACAAAUAACGAAUCGUAAUCUGAUCUACUAAAUCUUACAGUAAACCUAAACAUUUUGACUUAACAUGUCUAAACUAUCUUUUAUAGUAUAGGUUGUCGUUUUCCUUAGGGUAUUUAGAAACCAUCACUUUCAAAGUUUCGAUCUCGGCUUGUGAAGAUUGACCACGUCCGUCAAUCUGAUGUUGUUAAUCUAAAUAUAAAUAACUUUGAAAAGUUCAUAUAAAAUUUAUUGGUAUGUACGCAUUUUAAGGAAGAAUCUAUGCAACAAUCCAGAUGGGUUCGGCUAGAUUUUGAAUCAGUUUUCAAAACAUAACGAUAUAUACGGUAAAAUACUAAUAACCCAUCAAUAAGAAACUAGAAAGUAACUCAAAAGGUGAGAAUGAUAUAGUCUUUUCACUUCUGGAAAAAGACGUUGCUGUAUAUAUCCUAUAAACUAUCCGUAUGUUGACAAAAGCACUCUCAGAUUUUUCUUUUUAGCACUAUCAGAAAUUUCCUAGCCAAUUAUGAUGAACUUUUUUGAUUGACAUAUUCAAACCAUUUUUCGAUCAUAUGAUGCAAACCAUAUUCAAGCACGCUGGUAUUGGAACAUGUGAUGCAAACUAAAAUUCUACAAACAAUGAUGAAAUGAAAACAUUUUUCGAUCAUAUUCUUAAAACUUCGAAACCAUUCCACCAAUCCUUACACACAUCGAUGCGAUUGACAUUUUACAACUCCGUUUCAACAGCCACGUAAACCCAUCACAUGGAAGCAUGUACGCGUGUACGGCAGAUAUCAAACGAUCUCUGCCUUCUCCCAAUAUGGAAAGCGAGGAUCUUGGAGAAGACAUGUUUUGUACAAGACCACAGAACAAACUACUCAAAAAAGAGUUUGGUAUGUCGUGGGCCACCUUAAAAGCAAUAUUUUAUCGUCUUGCUUCUAUGUAUCUAAUUAGGUCCCUGCCACACGUCUUCAUCUUGGUGCGAUCACACGCUCCGCCUCUUGUACAAGAUCGUGAAGGUUAACACCUGUCGACGGUAGAACCAAGCUCACUAUAAUAAUAAAUAAUCUAUAAGGUACGAAACCUUUCAAUUCGAAUUUAAUCGAUACAUAAUGGGCGGUGUAUUAUUUAAUUGUAUUUUUAGAUUUAGUUUGAUAAUACUAAAUGUAUUUUCUGCGAAUGACAAAUUAUUGGCGAUGAAACCUAAUUGUUAUGGAGAGGCAUUUUGUAUGGGACCAUACGCUCUUGAUACGUGAUAAUGUUUUGAACGUGUCAUGAUAUCAGAGGGGGUUCAUAGUUGACUUAUAUUUGUAGUUAUUAGCUCGAUGAUUGUAAGUCAAUUCUCAUUUGAAUUUGUUCAUAUUAUGGAGAUAGUAGAGCUUGAUUUUUUCCGGAAAAGAGAGAGUUCAUAUAUGUAUAUAUACUAUAUUGCGUUAUGUACAAACUCGUAGGGUGCUGGAGGUCAUUCAGAUUCUUAAGAUAUGCUUUCCGGACUUCAACAUUCAAUACUUUUCAAGGAUGUAAAAUGGAAUUGCUGAUUCGCUAGCUAGGAAUGUCCGUUCUUUUCAUAGAUCGUUGUGUUUUGUUAGUUGUUUUAUUCCAGUCUGGUUACCUAUGCCACCUCAAGUUUGAGUAAUAGAAUAGCAGUUGGUUGCCAAAAAAAAAAUACAAACUCGUAGGGUUUUACUUUAAAAUGACUUGAUGUACUUAGAGUAACCUAUGGUUUUUAAAGAGCGAAUAUGUUUCGAUUUAGAAUGGAUUAAUUGUAUACCCUUUACAUGUAUAUGAUGAUCAUCUUGGCUCAUCAAUAUUAGGAUCAAGUCUAUGUGUUUUCUCUUAAAAUGAUACAUGAACUAAUUUAUAUAUAUAUAUUUGAUAAAAAAAGAACUAAUUUAUUUGUUAUUUAAGCAAAAAAACAAAUUUAUUUAUUUACCAUCGGGUAUUCAGUUGCAAACCUAUGAAAAUUUAAUACACAAAAAAUAUUGAAUAUAGUGUUUUAGCAAAAAUUCUUAGUAAUAUUUUCAAUGAUCUUUGUUUAUUUCCCUAUUUGGGGCAAGUCACAUGUUGAUUUCAUUUUUUUACGUUGCGUCAAUCUACAAACAGUUAAUAUGUUAUGCGAAUUUAUUGAGCUGAAUUCAAAUUUUUCAAAUAAAAUUAUGCAUAUUUUUUUCCUGUAGUAUGAAAAUAGUUGUAUUGUAUAUACACCUACAGCAAUACAACAAACAAACAAAAAGUUUGCCUUAAUGGGUUGGAGAAGUUAGGGUGCUGGGUUAUUCUCAAUGAGAAUGGUCGGGAUCCAUAUGGGUGCUUGGUUUGGCAAGAUAUAAUCUACCAAUUAUCAACAAAUGAUAUUGGGACCAUAUAGCUAUUAUGUAAUCAAUGCAAAACUUCGUACUUUUUAAGUUUAUGUUCUCUGCCCACUUCAUAAAGUCCAUAACAACAGCUUUGUAAGUUAAAUAGACUAAACGAGAAAACUAAUCCUACUAUAUAAAAGGAGUUAAAUCCUAGCCUCCUAAGCCUUGCCACAUGAACAAAAUAAUCAGAACCAACCAUUAUGCCAUGUCAUUGUGGACUGGACUUAAAAAAAAAAAACCAACCAUUAAAAUAUGCGAAGAGUCACGGUUUAACCCGGUUCAACUCCAGUUACAUCAUAAUAAAACAAUGCAUGCAUUGAUUGUUGAUUAUUAGUCUUCUAGCUACCACAUCUUUGCCAUCCUAAAUCAAAAUAUAUUUUUACAACUUUAACUUGCCCCAUACUUAAUAUUCUUAUAGCUGGUGAACAAUUUAAUUUUUAGGAAAUCGUUAUAUUUCAUGCCAAAAAUGCCUACUGUAUUCAUUGAAAAUUAAAUAACAUAUAUUCUACCAUUAGGAUCAAGAACUCUAAUCUGAAGACCAUAUAUUCAUCCCCUCUCACUCUGAAAAAACCACCACCGCCAACCGUUCAAGAUUUUGUGUAAGUCAAUAUUUGAAUGUCACAAUUUUGUCAAUUUCUUGGCAUAAGUGAUAUGUUUAAGAGUUGGAUAGUUAAGUCCGUAUGCGGUUGGGGACGUGGGGUUUGGCUCACCUUCCACUGUUUAUUUUCAAUUGUUUUAAUAAUAGAUUCAUAUUGAUAAUCUGUGCGAACAAACGUAUAAGAUUUUAGUUGGUUAAGAUUAAACAUAGACCGACAAUCUUCCGUCUUUAGCUAUUGGUCUCCGCCAAAAAAAUUUGAUUUAAUAUAAUAGUUCCUGCCUGCUAAGCUACUACAAUUGUAGUUCACAUCUAUCGGUCAUAUAAAAUAUUUAGUUUUUUUUUGGCUUUAUAAGAUUUUAGUUUGUAAUUAAUCUCAUGGUUCCAUUUUAUCAGUUGAGACUUUUUUCACUAUGUUUUAUUAUCAACCAUUUCACUUUGCCUAACAUUUAAAUAUUCUUUCCUUUAUUUAAGGAUUGAUUGUUCCUCAAUACCAUGGUCAAACCAACCGCCAAAGAUCCUCCGCUUAUGGGAGGAAUUUUGAAUUUACAAGUACAUUUUUGAAUCAAAAACAUUAUUAGUAUUGAUAUAUUAAUUUAAUACUUUAAUCCAAAACUUUAAUAAAACAAAUAUAAAAUACAAAUUAUGUUUUAUAUAUAUAUAUAUAUAUAUUUUGACUAUUUACAUCUUAUUAAAUUUGAAGUGCACAAAAAAAAGAAAAGUUACAUCUUAUUUGAUAAGAUUCCAAAUAUGUAAAUGAAAUGCUACGUUUUGAUUUUUGUUUAUUGCUACGAAACGUUUUAAAAACUUGGGAAAAGGUAAAAAUACAAACGACAUGACCGGCCACUCCUUUUCCCCCGGUUUGCAAGAAUCUAAUUGAGUUGCUUAAUAUUUGUUCCAAAUUAAUAUAUAGUUCCAUCAUAAUCAUAAAUUAAUAAUCUAUCUCUAUAUAAUUUUAUAUAAGUACUAAAUAAAGAUAUUUUUAUUCAUUUUAUAGUUACAAAACUCUAAUAAAACAAAUAUACACAUUAUUAGUAAAAUAUGUUUUUUAUUUAAAAAUACAAAUUAUGAAAGAAACUACAAUUAGUUCUUAAUAAAAAAAUCAUGCUGCCAACUGUAUCAACAGAUUCGUCAUUCACCCUUAGAAGACACAUAUAGGAAUAAUUAAAUACUUUGGCAAAAAAAAAAAAACAUUUUGAAGAUUCUUAGAUGAUGAUCGUUUUCUAUACAAACAUGCGGCACCUCUUCACCAUUGUUUUAAGAGUCAUUCUUGGGUUCACCCCCUAGGGUGAACCUCUAGGUUCACCAACCAAUAGGAUUUCAUUAUUUCAAAUUCGAUAUCUUUUAAAAAAGGAAACAAAAUAUUCUCAAAUUAUAUUAUGUUUUUAAAAUAAAUAAGUAAAAAAAGAUAAUAGUUACAGAAAAAAGAAUUAAAAAAAUAUAUAUUUUUAAUGUUCUCAACAAAACACUAAACCCUAAAUCCUAAUCCCUAAACCCUAAAUCCUAAACCCUAAACCUUUGGAUAAACCCUAAACCCUUGGGUAAACCCUAAACCCUUGGGUAAACCCUAAACCCUUGGAUAAAUCCUAAACUCUAAAUAAAAAACACUAAAACCCUAAACUCUAAACGCUUGAAUGUUUUAGUGUAUAGUGAUUUUGAUUUAGAGUUUAGGAUUUAUCCUAGAGUUUAGAGUUUAUCCAAGGGUUUAGGGUUUAGGAUUAAAGGUUUAGGGAUUAUAAUUUAGGGUUUAGGGUUUAAUGUUAUGCUGACGACGUAAAAUAUUUUUUUUUUGUAAUUAUUACUAUUUUUUUUACCUUUUAAUUUUAAAAACAUAAUAUAAUUUGACAAUAUUUUGUUUCUUUUUUAAAAGAUAUCGAAUAUAAAAUAAAACAAUCAUAUUGCUUGGUGAACCUAGAGGUUGGACCUAAGAAUAAGUCUUGUUUUAAUCCCAGGAAAACGCGUAGAAAUCUAUUAACACAAAUAUUAACAUACUUUAAUUAAAUAUGUAAUCCGCGCGGAGCGCGGACACCGGCUCUAGUUUCUAUAAUUUGUAUAUAAUCAACACUAACGAUUCGUUGAAAUUCAAUAACGCAUAGGCAUAGGUGAUCGUUUGAAAUAUUCAGAAGCUAUAUUAGUAAUUAGAGGCUAAGUGGUAGCUUAACUUCGAAUAAAGAGAUGCAUAUAUAGUGGAGUAAGUUCUUGGAGAACCGCAAGCCGCAAGUUACGUAUAUAUUUGUUUAUGUAUAUUUUAAAUCGACAUAGAUAUUUAUAAUCGUUAUGUUACUAUAAAAAAUUGUAGCAAAAACUAAAAUUUCCAAAGAAAAACCCAAAGAACAUCAACACUCAACACCAAAAUAUAGCAAACACAAGUACGUAAUUAAAUACCAUAAUAUUAACAUAUUUUAAGAUAUAAUUCCCUUAAGAUAUAUGUGUCCUGAACUCGAUAAUUCCAAGUAUCUCUUAUUCUCUUGCAUUAUUAUUUUUAAAUCUCUUCAAUUUUCUUUGACUGGAUCAAGUUAACACCUAAGCAAAGGAUGAUUGCAAAAUAAUGAAAUAUUCAUAUGGCAUAAUCAUUUCAUAUAAUUAGUUAGAACAAACAAAUAAACAUCCUAUUGAAAAAGCAAGUUUAUUUAUUGUCGUCCUAGAAAAGGGUAAAAUAUAAAUUUAAUUCAUUGGUUGCUUGUUAAGAGUUACCAUUAUCUCCCAAGCAAAAUUAAUGAGCUAGAUAAAAUUUGUAUCUAAAUACAGAAACAAAACGUAAAAUUAGGCAAACAUGGGGUCCAAUUUUCACAGACAAGAAAAACUGAAGGAGUGGGUAAGUACUAAGUAUUAACUAUUAAGUAAUCGUUGUACUAACCAUCGUCCAAUGAAUAUACCAACUAGUCUCUUUUUUUUUUUUUUUGAUCAACAUACCAACUAGUCAAAUUGAAGGAGUGGGUAAGUAUUAAGUAAUCGCUGUACUAAUCAUCGUCCAAUGAAUAUACCAACUAGUCAAAUUGAUCUAUACCAAAUCAUAACCAAACCAAACUCAACUAAACCAGUUAGACCCGCGUUACAGAAUCUGACCCGUGCCUGAAAACGAACUCGGCCCAGGCCCAUUAAGAAACAAAGUCCCAAAUAACAAAAACAAACGUUUCACCGUCGUUCUGCGCCGCCACUCUCUCUCUCUCGUCGUCGCUCAUCACAGGUUAGCUUCGCUUGAUAAACCCUAGCUGAUGAUUCAAAGUUUUCACCUUUAUUGCUGAUUCGUAACCUCUGCGUUUACAGAAAGAGGUUUUCAGCUGGAAAACAAUGGCGGGCUGGCAGAGGAAUCUACAGGUGAUUCGUCAAGUCGCGAGAAGAGUGAAGAACAGUAACAUUUCAACAGCCCAUUACUCUUCAACUCGCAAUUUAGAAUCUCCUUUCUCCAAAGGUGAAACCUUUGUCUUUGCCCAUGUUUGAGUUUUUGCUCAUUUGAGUUUUAGAGAAUGUUGAAUCAUAUCUGAGUCUAUGUGUUCUUUAUGUAUGACUUGUGUAAUAUCUUUGAUUUGUUCUGGUCCAUUGUUUUGUUUAGUUGAGUGGGUAAUGAUAAAGUUUUAAUUUUUGUGCUUGUGAAGUAGGUUACUUGCAGAGUCUCCUGAGACCAACCUACUCCUCAACACCACUGCAUCAGUAUCUACAGCAAGUGGUAAUAUACUUUGUUCGCUUUACUAGUUGCUACACUAUCUCUUUGAGCAGAUUGCUUCCAUGAUUUGCAGAUUUAUGUUUCCGCAGUUCUGCAAUGAAAGUUUUAGCAAUGUUCAAGAAAUCGGUAGGCGGUGAUUAGGCGUUUUAUAGGGGAUUAUUGGUUAUGCGGGCGUGUAAACCGAUUUUUUUUUAACACUUAAAGCCGAUUUUUAGGAUUUUGAAAUAGGGGAAGUGAGACUGUGUGUCUAGUGGGAUGUCAACAUAUAUUGUCUAUGUUAAUUAGGAGUAAAAAAGAUCAUAUCUUUUUGAAUUAUGGAACUCUUGUGACAAUUAGGAACGUCUACUUUUGGGGUAUGAGAAUCAUGGAGUGUUGUUUAAUUGCUUUCAGGGCAUUUCUACCUCGAGAACACUUAAGGCUAGUGAAGAGCCUAUAUCAUCACCUUUGUCAUCUCCAGCUCUAUUAGGUAGUGGCAAAGAAGAAGAGCAGAAGAUUAUCCCAAAGCGUAAAAAAGUGCAGGCUGUACUCAAAGCCAUAAAGCAGGUGUGUGUGUGUGUGUGUGUGUUCUUUGACUCUCAACAGAACUCUCUCUUUCACAUGAUUUGCUCACCCUUGUUUUGUUUCAGAGUCCUAAGAAGGUCAACCUAGUUGCAGCACUAGUGCGCGGUAUGCGUGUUGAAGAUGCUCUCAUGCAGCUCCAGGUCACAGUUAAACGAGCUUCCCACACUGUGUACCGGGUAAUCUCUAAGAUCUGAGCUUGAAACAGACAACUCGUUUCAUUAGUACCAAUGUUCAAGAAAUCGCUAGGCGGUAAUUAGAUGAGAUUAUUGAAUAGGCGGGCGCAUAGACCGAUUUUUUUAAAUGAAAAUAUCGGUUCGUUGAGGACUGAUUUGCCAUUAAUACUACAGGUUAUUCACGCUGCUCGAGCAAAUGCUUCUCAUAACCAUGGACUAGAUCCUGACCGUCUCAUCAUUGGUAUGUACUAACUGAUUCCUCUGCUUGCUGCAUUUAAGGAACGGUUUAUUUUAUUCUAAGCUUUUGAUAUGUGAUUGCAGCUGAAGCCUUUGUUGGGAAGGGACUCUUCAAGAAGAGGAUAUCUAUCCAUGGAAAAGGAAAAUGCGGGUUGAUGAUAAGACCAGAGUGUCGCCUAACUGUCAUAGUUAGGGAGAUUACUCCUGAGGAAGAAGCUGAGAUUGCGAAGCUCAAAGUUCAUAACUUCAAGAAGCUAAGCAAGCGGGAGAGGAGGCUUGUCCCCCACAAGCUGAUUGAGACAACUCCAAUCUGGAACCGUAGAGGCACUAAAGCUAGUCACCGGUCCUCAGAGUUGGUGCCAUCUCGCUAGUGUCUUCUUUGUUCCUUGAUGGUUUGGUUACAAGGAGAGGCUUGUCUUCUCUAUGCGCACCUUCUUUGCUUUUUGGUUUGGUAUUGUUCUGGUACUUAAUAGGACCGGUUUAUUUAUUUGCAUUUCAAUAAAAUGUUGUAAGAACAAACCAAAUCGUUAGAUUUGGACUAAGGUAUAAUCAGUAGACCUCAUUUUCAAAUCCAAAACUUUCUCAAAUGGUUUGUAUUAUUCAGAAGAAUGCACAUAGUUUGGAAUCAUUUCCCUUGAUAUUUUGUAAGCAAUCUUAUUAUGCAAAGUUUUGUGUUUCAUCCAAUAUUCUAAAAAAUGGUCCAAAUCAGUCAUAAAUAAAACAAUUUCUUCACAACAAUUUUUUUAAAAAAUUGGUAUGAACUUAGGUUCCCAUCUAAACAAUUUUUUUUAUAAAAUAUUAUAAUUCUCGCUUAGUGAUUUGUUAAAUAGUAGUUUCACCAAUAAUAUUUUUCUUUUUAAGUGUUUUCACAAAUGUUUUGAGUUCUUGUUUCUUUUUUUUUGUCAUCAUUCUUGUUUCUUAUAUUUUUGUUUAUUUGAUUAGAACUCAUCUCUCUAUAUUUUUGUAUUAUAAAUUUAUCAUGUUUAUGUUUUCGAAGUAAUAUUGAUUGUAGUAUCUGCACAAUAACGAUGAAAUCGAACGGUCAUAAAACCAAGACCAAACCAUGACUGAUCAAGCAACGUGGCUCAACUUCGUCUCGACUCCUCUCAUACUCACGGACACGUGUGGUCAAGCCCAACUUACUUCAUAUGGGCAACUCUCUCUUGUGCUAAAAACAAUGUAAUAACAAUUUCAAAAGACGGUGGUGAGAGAGAGAGAGUACAAGAAAAGAAAAAAGCAAGAAGAUAAUUCGACGGCAGAAAUGUUUUCAGCUAUCGGAAGUUUAUUGAGGCUCAUCUUCAAGAACUUGGACGUCAUCGCUGGGUACAUGAAUAAUAAUUUUAACAUAUAGCCAAAGUUUUAGCAAAAAAAUAUAUAUAUAUAGCCAAAGCUAUUUUCUGGUUUAGUUCAUUAUGUUAAUUUGAUUCUUUUUGCAUGUGCUGUGGUGUGUGCAGACCUAUCAUUAGCUUGGUUUAUCCUCUGUAAGUCUAAUAGAACUCUCUCGCUAUCUGAUUAAUUUGCCUAUUAUUUCAAUUAAAACUUUGGUUUAUACUUUGAUCUAGAUACGCAUCAGUGAGGGCAAUAGAGUCGAGGACCGGUGGAGACGACAAGCAAUGGCUCACUUAUUGGGCUCUUUAUUCACUUAUCAAACUCUUUGAGCUUACUUUCUACAGACUCAUCGAAUGGUAAGUUUAUUACACAAAUAAUCUAAUGAGGCUUCCUUGAUCUGCAAGGUUCGAUCUCUGAAAACAGAGUGAAUCAUAUGUUUGUAUAUAGUAGGGCUCUAACAAACCUAUGAUAAAUUGAUGUCUAGGAUCUCACCAACCAAUCUUGCUAUAGAAAAAUGCUUUGAUACAAGUUGUGUUGGAGGGUCAGUGAUGUUUAGCUUUCGUGGAGUCCAAGUAACGUUCUUUAGGUUUUUGUGCUUACUAAUGUUUACAUCACAACAUUAUUUGAGCUAACCAUUAAAUGGUGGUUCAUAGAAUCAUAUAUCUACAUUCUGUUUGAUAAGAUAUUGUGGAUGUUUUAAAACUAACCGCUGGAGUGUGCAAGUUUCUUAUUUUAUAUGGACUAAUUAAAGUUUUGAGGUUCAUGUUAUGAUCAGGAUUCCGUUAUGGCAAUAUGCCAAGCUAGCCUUAACCUGUUGGUUGGUGUUACCGGGAUUGAGCGGCGCUUCUUACCUCUACGAGAACUAUGUGCGUUCAUUCCUUUUAAGCCCACAUAGUGCUAACGUGUGGUACGUACCAGUUAAGAAGGAUGAUGAUGACUUAGCAGCAGCUGCUGGGAAAUUUACUCCGGGUGAGCCUACAGAAAAGCAUGCUAGCUCGGUAUGACUUCUAAACUCUGUCUAAAACAAUUUUUUGUGACGUAAAUGUUCGAUUUGGAAACUCGAUGUUUCGUUGAUUGUUUCUAUUUUUUCAGGUGGAUACAUCAGCCAAAUAUGUUGGGGGCUCGGCCUUUGAUGAUACAUAUGUAUACUAGUAAAGCUACUUGUGGCCCUGUUGUAGCUUAAUAUCGUUACCCAUCUUGGUGUACCGUAUACUCUAUAUUUGCUUUUUUAUCUUUGUUUCUCUUGAUGAAUGUGGUAGAUGUGUAAGCAAGCAACGAAUAAAAUUUCUAACUUCACCAAAAAAUAUGUAUAUGUUUCCUUAGUGCAUGUUAGUACUUAGCAGAGACACAUCCACGUGAUGGCGUUAUACAUUACACAAACUCAGCAUUGUGAUUUGUGAACUGAGAUUAGCUGUAACUCUGUAACGAUAACGAACCAAGGAGUUAAUGCAUCUUGCCGGUGUGACAAUAUAAAAAAUUGUGUCUUUCUUUGGUUUUAAAAUAUAUACAUUGUGUGUUGUUCAAAAAAAAAAUACAUUGUGUUAAUAAUACAUAUUAAAUGUUUUUGUACUUAACUAUAAAUAAAAAUUAUAAAAAAAUACAAUUGGCUGCACAGUUUUUUUUUGAGAAAAAUUAAGAUUACCUAUAUAUAUGUGAAAGUAUUUUAUUUUGCAGAGAGUAUAUAGUUUUUGUUAAUUCAACAAUAAUUUGAGUUUAAACCAAAAAAAAAGUUCUCAGUUCCCUUAUCUUAAUACAGGAAAAAAAGAAAUUAUAUUCAAUACUUCAACGUAAAAUAAAAUAAAAAGUUGGUUCACGCGAGACAUCAUAACGACUAAAGUAAGUUUAAUUAAAGUCUUUUCUGCCUUUAGCACUUUUUCUCCUUUCUCACGGUUUCAUUGGCUCUCCCUCUUUUGCUCUGCUUCAGUUUCUCUUCCCAAAAACAAACUAUCGUAUUGCAUCUGAGUAUCCGAGAGAGUUUCUUUUGAUUUUAGAGAGGGGCUAAAAUGGCGACGAACAUUGGUAUAAUGGAUAGUGCUUACUUUGUUGGAAGAAACGAGAUUCUUGGUUGGAUCAAUGACCGUCUUCAUCUCAAUCUCUCUCGCAUUGAAGAGGUAUAUAUAUAUAUAUAUAUAUAUCUUUUGUUUCUGCAUGUGUUUGUUUCAAUGUCAGAUUUGUUUUCACUUGUGGUGCAUUGUCAAAUAAAGAGGACGUGCCUUGAUAAUGUCGGUGGACUAUGCAGAUUUAUUUUGAGAUAUAUUUAGUUUUGAGAUUUGUUCUCUCUCAUGAAUCAUGAUCUAACUAAUCUAGUCGGAUGUGUUACUCUCGACACUUUUUCUGAUCCUAUAACUAGUGAGUGAGGUAUUGCAGAUUUCUUGGAAGUAUAUUCGUUUAUCUUGGUUCUGUCUGAUAAUCAAGGUGUUUUUGAGUGUGUUAAGAUGCAAUCUCUGUAUUUUGAUGCUUAGCUACUGGAGCAACUCGUAUGUCUGCUGUUGAAUAUUCCGGUUUUUUAUAUCAGUUUUUGGCUUUAUAGAAAAAGUGGUAAUUGCAAUUUAUGUUGUGUAAUAAUCUACAUUUGUCAGCUUGAUACUUUUAUGCCUUUGAUAUUCAAAACGCUUCAAGGGUUAUUAAGAUGUUUUUACUUGUUUGUUUUCAACUGAUACACUUGCAAGUAAGCACUGAGACUGUUAAUAUUUCUUGCUUUUGAGACUGUUUAUCUAAGUGGCUUAUGGUUGGUAGGCUGCAUCGGGUGCUGUUCAAUGCCAGAUGAUGGACAUGACCUUUCCAGGGGUUGUGCCUAUGCACAAGGUACAUUUUAUAUGCAUCUCUUGUUUGCUUCUUUGCAGAGGAAUCUAAAUCUUCAACUCUCAGGUUAACUUUGAUGCAAAGAACGAGUACGAGAUGAUACAAAACUACAAAGUCAUGCAAGAAGUCUUCACCAAAUUGAAAAUUACAAAGGUAAGUUACAUUUGCCUUUGAGAUAAUGAUCAUGUGGGCUAAUAAUGCCUUUAAAAUAUCUAAAUCACUUGCAAUAUUUUUGUCUUUAAUGGGAAAAAUACAUCAGCCAUUGGAAGUCAACAAGCUUGUCAAAGGGAGACCACUAGACAACUUGGAGUUUCUACAAUGGCUAAAACGUUUUUGUGAUUCCAUAAAUGGUGGCAUUAUGAAUGAGUGUGGACUCUUUUGCUACCUUAAUAAUAACUAGAAGUCUUCUUAAUGUCACACCACUGGUUUCAUCAUUUGUAGGAAUUAUAAUCCAGUUGAACGAAGAUCAAGAGGUGGUAAAGAGAAAAGUGUAAAGGGGUCUAGUAAGGUCUCAAAGUCCAUGCAAACAAACAAUAUGCAUCAGCCUCCUCCAGUCACUACUUCCAACAAAACAUUUGGUCCGUCAUUUAAACUAGCUUCUUGAUCCAGUUUAUGACUUUUUCUAUAUAUAUUUUUAGAACAUUCUAAACUCCUAGGUCCCAAGCAAGCAAAAUCACAUGCUGUUGGAGGUGGGAGCAACUCAUCAGCCGAAGUGCAAGCUCUGUCAAAGGAGGUGACUAAUAGUUUUCAUUCUUUAAGGUUAAUGAGAAUAAACCUUUAAUAUGAAACUUUCUUUGACAAUACUAGCUUGAAGAUCUCAAGGUCUCGGUUGAUCUCUUGGAAAAGGAAAGAGAUUUUUACUUCAGUAAGCUCAGGGAUGUAGAGAUACUUUGUCAGACUCCUGAGCUCGAUGAUCUUCCAGUAAGUGUCAUAGCAAUGCUUUUUUGUCUUUAUUUCCCUUUGUUUGAACUCAAAAAAAUGAAAAUGUGAGUAUGUAUUUGUUGAAACCACGAAAUGUGCAGAUAGUGGUAGCGGUUAAGAAGAUAUUAUAUGCAGCAGAUGCUAAUGAAUCUGCAUUAGAAGAAGCUCAAGAGUGCCUAAGCCAGUCUCUAGGGCUUGGGGCUGAGGAAGUAGAACAAGAAGCAGAGACCCAGACUUAAAGUUGUGAUUUCUAACAAAAUGAAGUUUUCAAAGUAGAGGAUAACAAUAAUCAGCUUGAAAAUUUUAAUAAUAAAAGAACAAAUGCUUAACGAUUAAUUUUUUGUUUGAAACACAAAUAGAUGCCACAUUGAGGCAAAACACAAACUAGUGGUCCUAUGUUAUUCAAGUUUCCAAGUGCAAGAUGCUUUCAUUCUUAUCAAAAAGAAUAUAAUCAGCGUACGGCUUACCAAACCAGUGGUCCGAUGUUAGUCCAACAUUAAACUUUCUCAAAUCAUUCUUUCGAAGAUCAUAAUAGAGAAGGUAAUAAUUGGAAAACAACUUACAAGGUGCCAAUAUAACCUCGUCGGUUUGAGUUGUGCCUCGUACCAACAAUUUAAUGCUCUCAUUGAGUAAAUGCAUCUGACAAGGCUGCAAAACCAGGGACUUCGUCGACCAUGCUCCACCAUCUUCCAAGACCCAUAAGUCCACCUUGCCCAUCUGUAUAAGAUAGGUCUGAUCAAAAAUAGCUGGCUUUCCUCCAUAUUCUAUAAAGCCGAUUGGGUUAUCUCGUAUUAAUCCAGACAACUCCUUAGGUACUUGGAUCAUAUUGAACUGUUCAGAUCUAACAUCAAAACUGACAAGGACGUAGCAAGACAAACUAACGUAAGCCAAAUAAUAUAUAACUCCACUGAUGCAUAGUCUUCCUAUUGUAGGAAUGUGAGGUUGACAAUCAAACCCAAUUCUUUUCCAAAAACCUCCACUUUCUAGUACGUAGACCCAAUGCUCCGAGGUUAAACUAUUUAUACUUGUUAAGAGCGUACUAACAAUGCAUAAUAUUUUGUAUUGAUCAAGAACAGGAUCGUGUCCGAAAUAGUAGAUGAUACUCUCAUCACAACCUUUGACUUUUUGGGAAAAUUUGAUGACCGGUCUGACCGGUAAGGUUACACUUUGUCUAGUGGUGGGAUUAUAGAUACACGCUUUUCCGCAAACCAUGUACAAAAUCAAUCCACGAAGAACCACCAUAUCGUGUCCUCCCAUCCCUUGCAUGGUCAAAUCUAAGUCAAAAGAUUCAACACUAUUACUAGUCGAUGAUGAUAACGAUAGCAGUUGAGACUCACGGGGCUCUGGCAGACCCCAAUGGAAUCACACAUAUAGUGGUGCAUCAAACUCAUGUAUAGACAAGGUGGUCGCCUUGGGGAUGCGACAGUAACAUAAAGGUUGCUAAAAUAUCGAGAACGGAUAAGAAGUGACCAUUUCUUUUUUUUUUGGGUAAAAUGUUAAAUAUUAUAUCAAUUUUUCAAUUUUGACAGACAUUACAAUAGACGACUAGUAGCAGAAAAUAAACGACAAAAUGACACCAUAACAAACUACGGACAACACCAAAGACCGAACCUAAGAGCAAUACAACACAAGCGAUAAAACAGAGUGAUAACGAGACAGCCUCAGACCAAACUACUCUAGAACUAAAUGAAGAAACCAACCGGUUACCGCGAGCUACCGAGAAAAGGGUGCCCUCAAACCCUGAUUGCAACGGCUCCUACAGCUUCCAACUGAUACUCCAUCGCGAACUAAAGCAAAGAAUCCAAGCUCGAGCCCCAAAGUAGGCCUGGUAAAAGAGACCACCGACGGUACGAGGAGAAGCCGAAGUCCGACGAUGCCGUCGUUCGAUGGUUUGUGCCGAAGAAUACCGCCUCCAUUGCAUUCCACCAAGACCGUAUACACCCAUCUAACCGGACUCCAUAUAGAAGUAACGGAUCNNNNNNNNNNNNNNNNNNNNNNNNNNNNNNNNNNNNNNNNNNNNNNNNNNNNNNNNNNNNNNNNNNNNNNNNNNNNNNNNNNNNNNNNNNNNNNNNNNNCGGAAGACGGACAACCCUCCGGAAGAGACAAAACCAAAGCCAUACUUGGUGCCUGUAGUCGAAUCAUCGCACCAAAAAACCCACUCGAGCUGAUGAGGCCCGCAAGCCACAGAGACAAUGAUGUUGCGAUUAUUGGAGAAGAGCAAGCAGCAGAGCAGGCCACUUCGCCAACACCACACCAUCUGAGGAGAGGAAUUAGCAGCAACCAGCAGCAAGAGCCGAAACUAGAGCGAACCAGAGCCACCAAAGACCAUCCACGCACAGCCACAGAGAGUCACUGACAGAGAGCCAAAGCACCACCACCAACGAAACCCUGUGCGCCACCACCACUGGAGAACGCAGCGGAGGUUCCUCAAAGAAGCAGAGGAAACCGGCAAGAAACCAGAUCCCCAACACCACAUGCAGAUUCACCCACCACCGGACGAACCAGAAGAAGAACGAAACAAUCUCAUCAGCGAUUUAGCAGGCAAUCUAGUCAGAAUCUCGAUCAUGAGAUCCCACGGAAUCUCCAACACCACCACCAAACAAUCUAGUUUAUGUCUUCUUCCUCUUCCCAUCGCCUUUGACAGCCACUUCUUCCAUUGAAUAGCUGACAUCAGAGAUAGAAACUUAACCCUGCCCUACUUAAUAUUUCUUAUGUACAACGAACCACCGAAACUUAUAUAUAUAUAUAUAUAUAUAUCCAAAUUCUACUCCAUAAUCAUUUAGGAAAAAGAAACUUUGAUAUUUUACAUUUUUAAAAGAAAGAAAAAGGUAUAUAUAUAUAUUUUAUCAUAUGUGUGUGAGUUGGAGAGACAAGAGCAGAGACUUAGCCCUUAGGAUCUAUGGCUUGAAGAUGUUGUUUUUACGUGGAUGGAUCAAACCCUAGGAUUAGAUCCCAUCACAUUAGCAUUACAUAUUAGGGUAAGAAGUUUGUAACACUUCGACCAAUUACAUUAAUUUAUUGUCAGAAGACUGAUGAAGGCUAUAACCUCGCUGACAUGUUAACAAAACCGUCACCAAGGAUAAAUUUGAAGGUUCUCUGGAGGAUGUCAAACAAGGGUGUUUCUGGCUCCUUUUCAUUGAUCACGUGUUUGUAUAACCAAGAGGUGAUUUAUAAUAUCCCAAUGGCUUGAGAUCCUAUCCAGUUUAAUGAAUCAGAUAUCCUAUACAGUUUUUUUUAAAUCCUAUGCAGUUUCCAAAAACCGCGAUUUUCCCAGACACAAGAGACGAGCAUAGAGACUCAGGAUCCAGGGCUUUAAGAUUUUGUAUUUUUGUCCCCCUUUUUGACUUGGGUUCGAAGAUUUUAAAAUUUCUUCUUUAUUCCCAACCAAACGAAUGAACGAUGUUAUUUGUCUUGCCAUAUCCUAACAAAGUGUAGCAAGUCUGACUCAAAUAAAAAGCCUUGGUUCAUUUGUUUACAAAUUUCAUUUGGCCUUAACAUAUUUUGCGAUAACUAAUAUAAAAAGUAUGAAGUGGUUCAUUUGUUUGGGAUAUAAUAAAAUCAUGAUUCGAGUAACGUUUAGUAUUUUUAUGGUUCUUUUGUGUGGAAGACCUUUUUAUUUGGAGUACUUAAUCAUUUUUAAUGGUUUCAGCUACAUUUAAACACAAACUUAAAUCAAUUAAAAUUCUAGUCACAAAUAUUUGUCAGAAAAUAUGAUUGGCCAAUAUGAUCAAACUAAAUGAAGAAAGCUCAAGUUUAUAGAUUAAAAUUUUGGGUAUCAGACUAAAAAUUGUCUUAAAUUCUAUCAUCUCUGGAGCUACAAUUUCUGCCUUACACUUAUUUGUGCCCACUUAGUGUAUCUUAAUCAGUUUUGUAUUUCUACGCUUUUUUUAUAAAAGAUUUGUGUUCAGCAUAACAUGUAAAACUUUGUUUUCAGCCUCUUUUAAAACUUUCAAAUUUUUAGGAGAAAUUUUAUAUUAUUUGAUUGAUAAUGCAUAAUGUGAAAACAAAUAGAAUAUGGCAUCUUGUCAAUGAAAUUAAUUGAGAUGUCAUGUUUUCUUUGUCUUACGCUCACUUAGUUUUUCUUAAUCAAUCUUGUAAUUUAAAAAAAAAAACUUUUGUAUUUCCACGUUUUUAUAAAGUUUCUAUCUCUUCGAAUAUUUUUGCUGUAAAAGCUUUCUUUUCAUCAUAACUUAAAAACUUUAAAAAAAAAUUAGGUUAUAAAAACCUAAUUAAUGUAACUGAGUAAUAAGAAAACAAAUAGAACAUGACAUUCUAUCUUUGAGAUCGUUGAAAUUGUAUAUUUCAGUUGCUUUACACUAAUGUUCACUUAAUUUUUAAAUCAAUCUUGCAAUAACUUCUUUUAUAAGAUAUUACAUAAUAAUAAUGUGGAAGAAUACACAUGAACAAUAGUAUUAUAGAGUCAUAUAAUAUAUAACACCAAAUUUUAACCAACAAAUUUGAAAUUUUACCAUAACCAAAUUUUGAAGUUUAUAAAAGUGGAAACAGUGUACGCGCGGAUGAAGCACGAGUUAUCCUUUAUUCCAAGACAAUGCAAAACCGGAUGGUAGACUUAAUUUUCUUGUAAAAUAUAUCCCAUCAAUUUUUGCAGUCCAUACACGUAGCUGACCACAUCGAGGGAUAAGUCUUGGUCCUGCUUUGUAUACUUGAACGUCAUAAGAAUACUCCAUCUUAGGUCCUUGCCUUAAAAUACAGUCCCACUUUGUUAAAUUCGGUAUCUCAUCGUGGAAUCUAAUGAUAUAUGGAACAUCAUUGAAGUUUAAGGUUUUUACACCUAUAUCGUCGUCCCCGGAACGACAAUGAAAUUGGAGAACUUUACCCGGACCGAGUUGAUUAUGAAUUUCUACUUGAUUCUUUUUGCAGGCUUCAUUUAGCCCAAAAUAUGUAGAGGUCACUAAUAUAAAAAGUACAAAGUAGUUCAUUUGUUUGGUAUCUAAAACCAUGAUUUGAGUAUCGUUUAGUAAUUAUAAUUCUUUUGUGUGGAAGACCUUUUUAUUUGGAGUACCAAAUAAAAUUCUUUUUGUAAAAUGGAUUUAGCUAAAUUUAAACACAAAUAUAAACCAAACAAACUUCUUGUCACAAAUAGUUUGUCUGAAAAUAUGAUAGGCAAAUAUGAUCAAACCAAAUGAAGAAAGCUUAAAUUUAUAACUCACCAUAGAAUGAUAGAAUCCAAACUAAAGUAAAAGCUAAGAUAUAGUCUUGAAAGUGUAGUGUUUCAAAAGUAAAUUUACCUAUUGAUAUACACAAAACAAUUGCAACAUAAAUAAAUUUACAACAAUGUAAAAAAAGAAGGUAAAUUGACAAAACUAGACAUCCAUCUGAAAAUUUCUAGUAAUUUCUUUUAUCCUCUCCAUCUCCUAUCCCACCAUUUCAGCUAUUUGAUCUCUGCAUUUGUGUGUUUUGAGAUUGAGAUUAUAUUCAAGUCGCAUAAUAGUAAAUAGUGAUGAUGACAAGUGAACUGACAUCACUUACUUUUGUUGUUGGUCUAUUAAAUUGGGCAAAUUAGAAAUCACUGUGGCCCAAUAGUUAUUGACUUGUGGGAGGACUCUUAAAACCCAACACAUUGACCUAAAGAAAACUUUUUAUUAUUACUUUAGGAGAAAGAAACAAGGGAUGGACAAAACGUUGUGCCAAUGGUAUACAUUCUGAGGUGUACUAUCGUCACGUUAGCUUUUCUCCUAAUCUUAUCUAGCCCACGUUAUCAAAAGGAGAGGGUAUUUUCGUCUUACUAAACUCCAACACGGAAUAGACCCAUCAAAGAAUUGGUAAAAGGAAAUAGAAAAAAAAAAACUAUUAGCGGCCGCAAACUCCAUAAUCAAUCUGACAUAUAUAUUUUUUUUAAAACAAUGUUUUAAAUGUUGUUUACGUCUUCUACACGGAGAAAAGGACAACAAAAACUUUAUAUAUAUUAAAUAAAAAUGCAAAAACCGCAGAUUACAGUUAAACUAAAGGCGGUUCAAGUUUCCUCUUCUGUAAAUCUUUCCUUAUAUAUACACACACUUGGAGCUCAAGUUCUUGUUCUUUCUUAUAACUCAAAACACACAAAGAAACGAUUCAACGCUAAAGACUAUUUUUUACCAAUGGAUUACUCAGAGCAAGAAGAAAGAUCAACGAUAUCUGAAUCUGGAAGCUCUAACUCGUACGAUCAGCAACGACCGUCGUUCGCCGACGAGCUCGGGCUCAUGGAGCUGCUUGAAGGCGAUAGAGCUUACGAUCUUAUCUACCGAAACUGUAAAUCUGCUCUCGGGGACCAAUGCGAUCUUCUCUCGAUUCUGAGAAACGGGUUUGCCACCGUUGGAUCUCGCGCUAAGCUCAAAGCUUUCCAGGUUUUUCAAGAGGCGGUGGAGAUGAAGCAUGUCGGUGAAGGCGGCGGCAAAGCUAGAGUUAAGUACGGUUGGUGCGCCGUCAAGAAAACAGAGUUGAAGUCGGUUCUUGAAUACGGUUUUAGCCAGCCAAGAAACGAUGGAUGUUAUGGCCGUGGAUUGUAUCUCUCCCCGGAUAAUGCUCUUCUUGAAUGGUAAUUUAAAUAUUUUAUGUCCAAAACUUAUUUUAUUUUAGAAGCGUUAAAAUUUUAAUUUUGCUUUAAAGAUAACUAAAAUUUUAAUUUUGUUUUACAGUGAUUUCUCCAAUUUUGCUUUAAUUGAGUUUUGUUUUAUAGUUUUUUUUAUUUCUUAAAAACUCGCGUUUGUUCAAAUUCAGUGGUCUCACUCACUGUUUUGUGUUUCUUGAUUUUUAGUUUGAAGGACUCAGCUGCUGAAUCAGAAGAUGGGAUGAGAUUCUUGCUGCUUUCGAGAGUUAUACUUGGAAAGUCAGAGAUUGUUCCACUAGGCUCGACUCAGUCAUGUCCGAGCUCUCCAGAGUUUGAUUCAGGUGUAGAUGAUUUGGCUUCUCCGAGCAAGUAUAUUGUGUGGAGUACACACAUGAACACACAUGUGUUGCCUGAGUUUCUUGUCUGCAUCAAAGCUCCAUUUAACAUCAACAGUAAGUAAAAAAUAAACAAAGCCUUUAUUUCUUUGUUACUCUGUUCUGUUUUUUAAGUUUCUGACAUGAUUUUAACUUUUUUCAGGAAGUGCAAAGAGAUUGAGAUCACCAUGGAUGGCGUUUCCUGUACUGAUCAAAGCAUUAUCCAAGUUCCUACCUCCUUCUCAAAUACUCAUCAUUCAAAAACACUAUAAAGAUCAGCAAGUAAGUGUUUUCUUUAUUCAACCAUUUUUGCUUCUUUUUCAAGCAAUUUUCACACAUUUUUACUAAUUGGUUUCUUUGUGUAUAACAACAGAACAGGAGAAUCUCAAGGAGUGAGCUAAUACAACGAGUCAGACACAUAACCGGUGACAAGUUGCUUGUUCAUAUCAUCAAAGCUUUUGGACAUAAAGUACAACACUAAAACUUAAGCGCACAUGGUUUGUAUCUGCUGGGCUAGGAUUAAGGCCGGUCCACAGAUUAGUCUCUAAGGCUAAGCCAUGUGUCUGUUGUUUUUUUCAAGAUAGUGACGAAUUCUUCUUGUAAUAGAUAACGAUUGAUGAAAAAAUAUUAAGAUAGAAUGUAGUGGCAGCUCAAAAAUGUUUCGAGUCCCCCGGGACAAUUUCUUUGGAGCGAUCUAAUAAAUAUUUCGAUUUCUGUAACGAUUUAGUUCUUUUUAUAUAGCACCGUUUACACUAAAUUGUUUAUGAGGCCCGUUCAUAUGUAUUAUGAGCCACUUUUUAGAACACUAAUACCACAAGUACAGAAGAGGACUAUAGUCCCAAUUUACAAAAUAUCGAAUUUAAAAAUAUUUUUGUCAAGAGGAAUAUCCCCUAUAUAUUAUUUGUGAAACAUUACAACUUUUUUUUGUAGACACGUGUCAUCACGUGUCAUCACUAAGAUGAUUCCUAGAAUUAUUAGAAAAAUAUUUUGGUCCAUCUAAUUAUAUAAUAAACUUUUUAUUAAACUAACCAUAAAUUUAUUAUUAAUGUCAUUUAUUAUUUCCUUAAAUAAAGAUUACAGAAUUGACUAAUGUGUCUAAAGUAUAUAUGACAAUUAAUGAUUUUAAAUAAUAAAGAUCUGAUAAAAAAAAUGUAUCUUCUAUCAAAUUUGCUUAAUUUUAAACUAUUAAAAUAAUUUUAAAAAAUCACAAUAACCAUAUUAUAAAAAUAUAGAUUUUUCUGUAUAUGUUAUAUUUUGAAUUUUAAAAAAUGAUUAUAAAUUACUAAAAGUGUUAAAAGUCUCACAUUCAAAUUUUGCGAUCCAUGGUUUAAAUUUUUUGUUAUGACAAAAUACAAAUGAUUACAAAAUCAUAUAAAUAAAGGUAUAAUUUAAUUAAUCAUUAAGAUUUAAAAUAUAUAUGUAUAUAUAUCAUUCUAAAUUAAACUAUAAACCAUAUUGAAUAAAUAAAUAUUUUAAUUUCAAAAUUUACUUUGAAUAAUUUUCUUUGAUAAAAGUUUUGAACUAACAUUGAUUAUUAUUUUUUAAAUUAUAAAUUACUAAAAUUAUUAAUCCUACAAUGAAAAUUUUGUUAUUAAUAAUUUAAAGUUUUUGCUAUUAAAGAUACACAUGAUCAAAAAAACAUAUGAGUAGAAAACAUCAUUUAAUAGACAUUAAUAUUAAAAAUAUACUAUGUAUGUUAAUAUCAUUUAAAUUUAAUUACAUAUCCUAUCAAAUUUUUAAAAAAAAUUGUUUGGAUUAAUAAAAUUGAUUUAUACGUUCGCACCAAUUUAAUUAUAUAUGUAAUAGUUACUGACUUUUAAUUAUUCAAUAUAUAUUUAUUAUUUCAUAAUAUGUAAGAACAUAUUAUACAUAAAAUAAUUUUUAUAUAUAAUAUUUAUCCCACACAAGGCGCGGAUCUUAAUCUAGUUUAUUAUUAUUCUGUAAAAAAUAUACAACCAUGCACUUAUAUCUGAAAAACAUUUGAAAGAAACCUAAUAACAUGUGCUAGAAAAAGAAGACAUCAAAUACUAUACCUCACAGUAGAUAGCUUUAUUAUCCAAACAAACAAACAAAAUCCUCUUUAUAGCUCUCAUUCUCUUAAUCCGUGGUAAACUACAAAACUCUCAGCUAAUUUAUUUCGAUGUUACAGCAAACUAAGUGCUCUCUUUAGCUAAUUUAUUUCUUACUAGUGAACUCUCACACACCACUUCUCAAGUCGAUGCAGGAAGUUCCCAGCCUUGUGGAACCGGACCAUAGUCAUAUAUAAUCUCUCUGUGGCAUGACCACACCAGCUUUAUAGCUUCAGGUGUCCCUAUCCCUGCUCCUCUCGGAUCCCCAGCCGGUCCAAACCUGUUGUAACAUAAUUUUGAGAUUUUCUAUAACAAAGAUGAAAGUUUGAGAUUUAUUUCUCUAACCAGUGAUUCUGAGGAGCUCCAGUUGUUCUUCCUCUGAGUCCAGCAUGUGUAGUCCCAUUCACCGAGUUCCCUAUCACUUCCUGCACACAUUUAUUACAUCAUUAUCUUUGCGAGAAUAGAUUGAUUGGUUUAUAAUGAUGGUGAAAAGACUUGCCUGGAUAAAGAUGGGAUCAUUUGAAACAACAGCUGCAGUUAGAUGAGCUGCAUCCUCUCCAAAGCAUCCAACACAAGAGGAAGCUGAUCCUUUUUGUACUCCGUUACAAUCUGAAACGGUCCAAAGAUCUCUUUGGUGACGAGUUCAUAGUUUUUACUGUCCUUCAAGAUCUCUUCAAUGGGAACAUAAACUGCAGUAGGCUCCAAAGCUCCGUAUACAGAAGGAAUCGAAUGAUUCUUCAAUGGUUUCCCACCAAAGAGCAGCUUGGAGCCUUGAAUCUGAAGUAGAUUCUCCAUGUGCUCCAACAUUGCCUCAGUUGUAAACUUAUAAACAGUCAUGAAAGAAGAAGUUUUAAUCAAUGUUCAAGAAAUAGCUAGGCGGUAAUUAGGCGUUUUAUAGGAGAUUAUUGAUUAUACGGGCGCCUAGACCGAUAUUUUGAACGAGUAGGCCAAUUUUCUUUUAAAAAUCGGUAAGCUUAGGUCCGAUUUUUAGAACACUGGUUUUAAUGAUACAAUCUCAUCGGAUGAUUAAACAAAUGGAACUUACUGUUUUUUUUUUUUGUUUUUUUUUUUUAACUUUGUCUCCUCCUCUCUAACGGGACAUUGUUUCAAAAUUACAGAAGAAAAGAAAUAGAAGAUAAGGCUGAAUACAAAAGAAAUGUGAAACACAUGCGCAGCAACAAAUUUAACAGAGUAAUGUCUUGAUUGAAGUGAUCUGGAUCACAAGGAGAAGUGCUGAAACCAUCAAUGCAAGUAUGUGUCAAUGGUGUUAUGCCUGAUCGAAUUGAGCCUGUUGUUAUUCCUGCUAAUGUCCUGAUCCAUACCAUAUAACUUUGCUUUCAAAAUAAUCUUGAUCUCCUUUGUAAUUAGCUGAGGGGGUCUAGCCACUGAAGUAUGUAACCUUUUGUUUCUCUCAUUCCAAAUCGCAUAGAAGACAGCCUGUGCAAUUAACUUGCAAAUUGUUCUCAAUUUACCAGGUGGAGUUGAGUGAUGCAUCCAUCUGAUAACGUCGGCAAAACCAUACGGCUGAUUGAAACCACCUUGACCAAAAAAAGAAUCCCAUAUGUCCUUAAUAAAAAAAAAAAAAAAAAAAAAAAAAAANNNNNNNNNNNNNNNNNNNNNNNNNNNNNNNNNNNNNNNNNNNNNNNNNNNNNNNNNNNNNNNNNNNNGAAAACAAACAAAAAAAAAAGGAGAUCAAGAUUAUUUUGAAAUGGAACUUACUGUUAGGACAGGACCAAUGGUCAAGUCUUCUAGUUUCCGUCUUCCGGCAAGAUCUUUUAGUUUAGAAACAAGAGAGGUUUUUGCCCAGUUCUGUAAGAAAGAAAGUAAGAAACAUUGAACAGAAACAAAGACAAACUUGAAGUAAACCAAAAGGGAUCAAAACCAAACCAAACCUCAUGCAUGAAUAGCAUAGACUGAGCAGAACACUUCUGUCCACUGCACGCGUACGCAUCUUGAUCACAAACCCACGCAACGUAAUCAACCUCCUGAACAUCUGGUCCCAAGACUUUCCAAUCAAAUCCAGCAUCUUCCAGUCUAAUCCGACCCUUGAGAUCAAGCGCCAGCUUUUCAGCUACUCUAGAGCUACCAGUGAAGAGUGUUUAUCCUUGGAUUGGCCUUACAUAAGAAAUUACAAAAAUAAGUAAAACAUGUGGAGACAAUAAGACUUGUGAGUUCUGAAAACACACAAACCUCUAACAGUAUCUUGUUCAUAGUCUUGCCAUCUGAGUUUAUAAAGUCAACAUCUUCAACAGGUAAACCACAGUAGUGGAGCAACCGCAUCAUUUGCUCCAUUACAAUGCUCACCUAUCCAAACAAACAUUUCAAACAAUCAUGAAAAUAGAUUUUGGAUUAGUUUUUGUUAUGUGUGAGACAAACACAAGAAUAAUACUCUCUUUGUUUUUUAAUAGUUGAAGUUUUAGAGAUUUUUUUUUGGUUCCAAAUUAGAUGAUAUUUUCAACUUUCAAAGUAAAAUUUAUUAACUUUAUAUAUUAUAUGACCAUUUAUAUUCCGCAGUCUAUUUUAUGUUUGGUUAAUUUAUGGUUAUGUGAAUAAUUAAUGAUGAUUAGAAAAUGUAAGAAAAUAAAUAUUUUCUUAAUCUAUGCGUAUAACUUUAAAACGUCAUCUAAAAAAAUGAAGAGUUUUAAACAGAUGGAACCAAUAGAAUAAGAAAGAAUAAUCACUAUACCUUGCUGUCAAACUUUAAGAAGAGGUUUGUUACCCACGUAUAAAGCCCCCAUAAGCUGAAGUAGAGGAAUCUCAAGUGGGAAAUUAAAUGGUGUAAUGAUCGUUACCUGUAUCAUAUAUAACUUCACAGUUUCAAAAACAAAAUAGAAAAUAGAAGUUUCUAAAGUUAAAAGGUAUCUAGGAAAGAAUGUCUUACAGGACCAUAAGGCCAGCGGUAGCCAUGACUUUGCUGACCAUGAUGAUUACCAGGCACUGCAAAAGACCUUGCCAGGAACCGCACCUGGUAUUAAAAGAAAAUGAAAGCAGAAUCGUUAAACAAAUAUUCAAAAGAUGUAAUUUUAUAGUCAGUCACAUAAUUGAAUGUGUAUAUAGUUCUUGAAAGUGAGAACAGGAACAACAUAAAAUAAAUAAAGACAUUCAUAUACCCAAUGUUGAAGAAAUCACUAAGCGAUAAUUAGGGGCUUUUUAGGAGAAUAGUGAUUAGGCGGAUGCCUAGACCGAUUUUUUUUUUAAAUAAUCGUUCAAGAAAAAUCGUUUUAUUAGAUUCUAUUUGAAGUCUAGACCGAUUUUUUAGAACACUGCAUUACCUGAUCGCCGCAAAAGUUCUCUAAGAACUUUAGUGUGACAAAAACUUCUCCAGCAGCUUGCUGGUAACUCUUUGGAGCUACCCUUUGAAUCAACCUCGUGAAGAAAUCAGAUACCUAAUAGUGUAUAUAACACACACAAUAACAAACAACCAGUAGCUCAGUACACAAAUUAUUCAGGAAAUCUGAUUUUUGAAUUUUUAAAAAUAAAUAAAACAUAUGUACCUUUGGUAAGGCGAGCAUAUGAGCUGCCUUGGUCGAAAUAUCUCCAUAUAAAAGGUACCUUUAGAAAACAUGACCAUAUGUGUUUAGCAGUGUUCUAAAAAUUGGUAUAGGUAGCACCUAGGCGUCCGUGUAGGUGGCAAAUCGGACAUAAACAAUAUCAUAUUUUUAUAACAAGUCUAAGCUCCCGAUUAAUCAAUAAUUUCACAGAAAAGGCCUAGCUAUUUCUUAAACAUUGGUCUUUAGUAUAUUCAAGGAACGAAAUAGAUUAGAUUCAUAAAGCUUUCUUAGAUCCCAAGCAAAUAAUACCUCUCUGGAGACUUGAAAGGGUUAUGGAGACCAUGUUUGGGACACUGUGACAAGCUCUCAACAAAUGGCUGCAAAAUAGAACAUAGUACAGACAAAGUUAAAAUUGUGACUGGAUACAACAUUGCAGUAAUAAGCUCAAGACUCGCGCAGCUGAACUCCUGAUUCAUCCACUUCAGAGACUUUAAAGAAAGGUUCUCCAUUGAGAGGAUCAAGAAGUGUUAUAGUUAGAAGAUCCUAUCCACUUUCCCUGCACUAUUAGAUAUUAAAAAGAAAAGUAUUAUCUCAGAACAUUCCACAUCAGCACUUCAAAGCAAAAAGCUCUGUGAACUAAGUGAACACGUACCAAAGCUCUGUACUUCAGCAGGGUGAGCACCAGAUAUCUCCUCGGCAUCUACCGUAGCAAAAGGUAAUGAAUGAUUCAAUCUGCAAAAGUCAUGUUUAUAACGAUCUUUUGAUCAAAUAAUAGUAUGUUCAUUUUGUAACAACAAAAUAAUAAACCUCAGAUUUUUAUAACACCAACUUGCUAAAGUUUAUGUCUUUUUAUAUAAUUUUAAUUAAAUCUUUAUUAAAAAAACAACACUUUGCGAGAUUGAUAACCUGGAAGAGGUGAAAGAAGCAAGGAAGGUCGAUGAUUUGCUGUCAGAGAGAGACUUAAUCUUAAUCAGGAAAAAAAUAAAAAAAUAAAAUAAGAACCCAAAUGAAAGAUGUUCUUAAUCUUAAUCAGUAAGUCUUAAUUGACCAAUUUGUUUUUGGUCUUUACGCUAAACCAUUAAUUAAUAAAUAAAAUAAUAAUAUGGAAGAAAAUAGUUUUUUUUUUAAAACAAAUAUCCUUUUUGUCUUUAUCUCUUUUCUUAUACGGUGAAGCAAAGGAAAGAAAAAUAUCUUCUUUGAUUCUCUCGAGUCUCUAUUUGCUAUAUACUCUUUUUUUUUUCAUUAUCUCUCUCACCUGAUUCACAAUUGAAAACUCUAGCUUUUGCUUCAUUGUUCUUCAUAAAGCUUUUGAAUUUCAGGUUAGUCUAUCUUUCUUCGUUUGAAUCCAAACCUUUGGUCUUUCUUGUUUCUCUGAUUCAUAACUUGCAUUGAAACUUAGGCUUUACUGAUUGUAUAAACGUAGAUCUUGAUCUCUGCUUUGUGGGUUCAAUAAAGUCGAAAACUUUAUCAGAAAUAAUGUGUUUGUGGCGUUUUAUGAGAUUAAAAAAAAAAAAUCAGUAAUUACUAUUGUAAAGAGUUAAACUUGAAAGGUUUGGUCUUUCAGUGCAGUGUUCUUUGUUUUCAAGCAAUGGCAACUCCAGCUAGGAAGAGACUCAUGUGGGACUUCAAGAGACUGCAGAAAGAUCCUCCCUUGGGGAUCAGUGGAGCUCCUCAAGACAACAACAUUAUGCACUGGAACGCUCUCAUCUUUGGGUAUAUACAAACACCCUUUAACCAUUUUUUUGUUUGUCUUCACUAUGCUUUUCAAACUAUAAACUAAAAAUCUUUCUUUAUUGUCUUUUUGCAGACCUGAUGACAGUCCAUGGGAUGGAGGUAAACUCUGUCUUAUUGCUUCCACAUGUUUUUUGAGUUAUUUAUAACUAUUAGCUAAGCUCAUGUUGUUAAUCUGUCUAUAGGUACCUUCAAGUUGACUCUUCAGUUCACUGAGGACUACCCUAACAAACCACCAGUGGUUCGCUUUGUUUCUCGGAUGUUUCAUCCGAAUAGUAAGCCCAAUCACGCACUUGAACUAAUAUACUUAACUAGAUUUUGACCCGCGAUUUUGACCAGCUUUUAAUAUAUUUUGUGGGGUGAAAAUUUAGUUAAAAACACAUCAAAUAUUUUGUUAGAGAUGUUAAAAUUAGUCUCAUUUAAGAUAUUUUGUUAGAGAGUAUUUGAUGACCAAAACAUGAGUUAUUGAUUUGAUGUUUGAACUUUGGUGCAGUUUAUGCUGAUGGAAGCAUUUGUUUGGAUAUAUUACAAAACCAAUGGAGUCCCAUAUAUGAUGUCUCAGCGAUCCUCACAUCAAUUCAGGUUUUUGACAAUAUGAAUCCUCCAUUGCAUUGUAGGCUUAUAAAUAAACUAACUAACAUCUUGGUUUUGGUUUUUUUCUUUACAGUCUCUGCUUUGUGAUCCAAAUCCUAACUCGCCAGCAAACUCUGAAGCUGCAAGGUUGUUCAGUGAGAACAAACGAGAGUACAACAGGAAAGUUAUGGAGAUUGUGGAGCAGAGCUAUGCUUAAUAAUAAUAUAAUGUAACUAUGUGCUGCCUGUUGAGUAAUUGGAGAUUGAAUAUAUUUAUCUUAUAAGUUUCAGAAUUGAGUUUUUUACACAUUUGAACUUGAACAGAAAACAGUAGAAGAUAGACAUCCAAUGAACUUCUAGUUAUGCCCUGCGAGAUGGUUUAACUGUCCUCUUCCUCCUUGUGUUGCUUCCAACGACAAUGACAAGGAACUUUAAAACGUGACGACCCAUUUAUGUUUCUCAACGUUGGUCUUUGUAUGGGGUCGGUCCAAUAGUCUGAACACUCAUCAUCUUACAAUCGAAACUUUAGUUUAAUAGAUAAGAAAAAACAUAGAAAGAAAGAAAGACAAGUCAUUAUCCUAGUGGAUGUCAUGUUCUUAAUUUUUUAUCUGAUCGAUUCUGUCAUCUAACCCUGACUUUUUCUCACUAGAAACAAUAUAAUUAUUUAUUUCACCUAGAAAAAAAACAUUAUAUAUGUAUAUUUUACCAAACACUUUAUUUGGAAAGAACACUGUUUUAUCGUUUUCUGAGCAUGUAACACGCCUGAAUUUGUCGGUCAUCGGCAAUUAUCAUUAGAGGGCGUGAUUGGGAAACAACAGAGUGAAUGAAAAAUAAAUGGAAAUGGAGUAAAUGAAAAAGUGGAAAUCAGCUAGAAACAAAACAAAUAGUAAGAGAAAAGAGAUUAAGGAACUCGACUAAAUGUAUUUCUCUAGUAAAUGUUAAAUGUUAAUGUGUUUUUUUCUGUUUCUAAAGUAAUUGGCUGAAAGAAGAAAUGUGGAGCUGGUGAUCGGACCAGUGUGGGAACUGGAACCGCAACAUGACCUAACUAGGCCGCAAAGGCGAGGAUUUGAAAUUUCUAUCCUAUUUUGCAGUGACCAGGAACACCGCAUAUGAAGUUUUAGUAUCCCAGUUUUGUUAGACUGAUAGUAUCAGAUCCGGUCUGAUAUCUAGCUAAUGGUUUAGACGGUUCACACAGCUCCAAAUCAUUGUGAGUGACUUCAGUGACGUCGUGAAAACCAUUGUUGUAUUCAAAAACCAAAGAUUCUCCUACUUGAAAAGUUCUUGAAGAAUCCCAUGCUUUGUCAUUAACACCCAUCAUGGUCCAUCCGCUCGAGUCUCCCACGUUGUGUACAGUUCCUCCAACUCCAAAGAGAGCGAGAAGAAUCAUCAAAGAAGUGAAGAAGGUGUUGCUCUUAAUCAAAGCCAUGAUCGAUGUUUUGGUUCUUUCUUUUUCUGGAACAAAAAAAUCAAUUGAUGUGAAGGACAACGAGUUUGAGAGAGAUUUAUUGAAGUUUUUGAGAAUGGAAAUUGAGAGGGGUGCUAAAAGCAUCAUCAUUUCUAUUCCAUAAUUUAUUCUAAAAACAGAGUGAAAAUAGAAUAUAAACAUAAAAUAAAAUAUUGUUAUAUAAAUGAAUUGAUUUUUUAUUUUUUUGUUCAUAUUCUAUUUUCCACUUUAUUUUUAGAGUAAAUUAUGAAGUGAGUAUGAAUAUAAUUUAUAAGAGUGUUUAUAUAGAGGAUUUGGUGCACCGCUAAUCGUAGUAAUCCUUUUCCUUUAGUGAUUACAUAACUUAAUUUUUCCUUUUUCCUCAAUUCAUUACGGAUUGAAAAAUUCAAUACCUAAUCCUAUAAGUUUUGAGAACUUUGAAGUUAUCCAUAGUAAAUUAUACUCAUGUAUAUUGUAUAUUUAAUCGAAUAUAAAAUUUAAAAGAUACCAAAUUAUUGUAAUAGUUAAAAGUAUGUGAAAAUUUAAAACAAGAUAUCUCUAUAAUUAAAAUUUAGAUAUUAUAUGUAUAUAUAUAUUAGUUAUGAUAUUACUUUAAUUAACAUAGCUAGAUUGAAAGAGAAUAAAAUAUAUUCAGAAUAAAUUUUACAAUAUGUUCUAAUAAAAUAUGUCAAAAACUAAUAUUAUGAUUAUGAUAUUUUUUAUAAUUAAACUACCUAAGUUAAGAAUAUUCCAAAAAUAAAAAUAAACAAAUAAAAUGAUAGAUAAGUAAUACUAGAACAAAUAUAAAAUUCAAAACAUACUAGGCGGUGUUAUUCAAUCAUGUAUUUUAAUAGAGUUUAAAUCUAAACACAAUCAAUUGUUAUUCAAAUGAUGAUUCUAAAUUCUAUUGUAAAAUCCAGUGUUAUUUAAUGAAUGAUUUGAAUCCAAAUUUUAAAAUCUAGUGUUAUUCAAUUUUAAAAGAUUUUAAAAUUCUUUGUAUUGUAAAUUGAUUUCAAAUCAUAUCUUCUGGAUUCUCUUGAACAAAUGAUUUAAUUCAAAAUUCAAGUUAUUUUUCAGAGAAUUUAAAAUUCAUCAACUUAAACUAUCUUAAAAUUUAAAAUUUGAUAGAUUACAAAAAAUUAAUAAUUGAUUUGAAAUCAGUCAUUGAAUAACACUUCCUUAUGACUGUAAAUAGUUAAAACUAUAGGUGAAAAGGUAAUAAUUCUCAAUAAUUUAUUUUUUUAAAAUUAUUAUGCAUAUUUUUCCAAAAAUUAAAGAUUUUACAUCAUAUAACUAGAAAUAUAAUAACUAACUGUUAAACUGUUACAAGUAAUUUUAUUAAAGCCAUACAAAUUUUAUCACAUUUUCUUAUAAACAUAUAAACUUUUGUGGUUUUUUGUUCCUUAAUAUUUUUACUUUUCUGGAAUUUAAAAAUAUAUAGAUAGUAAUAGUUUUAAAUAAUCAAUAACAAUAAGUAUAUACACACAUAUCUUGGAUAAAAUUUUAAACAUGUAACAAUCUAGUUGAUAAUUAAUGAUUACAUAUAUAUUACUUCUUUAAAAUUAUUAAAUUUAAAAAAUUUAUUUAAAUAGCACACUUUUAUAAGCAUAAUUACAAGAUAAAUUCACAUUCUUUUUAAAUAGGACUACUAAACAAGUUAAGGACAUCACAUUGUUGUUUAAGAAAACCAUGAAGAUACAGACAUCUCUCAUGUGCAUAUUCAUCAUCUCCCUAUUUACUUUGCAUCAGUGUAUGUAUAAUUUUUUUCAAUUAUAUUACUUAUGUUUUUUUCGUUUCUUAUUUAGUUAAUGUUUGGUUGAUGUAUGAUUUUUAUGUGAAGGUGCAAGGACGGAUAUUAGAGAAAUGGGUAAAUCAAACAUAAUCAUAGACUCAAAUUGUUAUCAUACAAAUUGGUUUAACAAAAGGGGUUGGUGUUGUACAGCCUUAAAAGGUGAUCCUUGUUGGCGCGACAAAGCCUCAUGUGAUUCAACAUGUCCUCGUCCUCGUCCUUCUUCUCCUUAAAACAAUAUAUAAUAAAAUUAAUGUAUUAAAUGUAUUUGGUUAUGCAUGAAAGUAAUAAAUAAUAUAAAGUUAUCUAAUUUAACUUAAUCUAGUAUUAUUUUAUUUUGAAAUUUAAAAUAUUUAAAUUAGAUAUCCGAAAAGUAUUUGGAAUCUUUUUAUUUAGGAUCUUAAUUAGUUAUAAAAAAUGACUAGAUGUUUUGUCCACGGAUAUGAAUAUAAUAAUUUCACAAAUAUAUUUUAUUACAUACAUUAUUAAUUCAAAAACCUUCACAACUAACUUCCAAAAAUCAGCCAAAAAAGUUUAUAGAAGACAUAACUUUAGAACCAAAUUUUUUAUCACAAAUGAAUAUUUCUCAUAGUUCUAUUGUACUUAACCAUAACAAGUUUAUGAGAAAAUUGAAGCACUUGAGCUGACUAACCAUAGGCUUUAUUAACUCUUAACAAAACGCUAUACAGACUAUGAAAUUCGCUAUGAUAAUCUAACAUCAAACUUAUCCUUUCACUUAAACCCUUUGUAAAAAAAAAACUUAUCCUUUCACUUGGAUUCUAGAAAACUCACGGUCAAACUGGAUUGUAGUAAUCAUACUAAACUAAACUGAAGAAUAAUCGUUAACUGGAAUGGUUUUUUUUGUGAGAAUUAGCAUGAAUAGUAUCGUUUAACAUUAAAUUAUAUAAAUAGAGAAAUAUUUAAUUAAAUCUGAAAAACUUUUAAUGGAUACUAAAAUUUUCUCACAUCAUAUGAAACUAAAUAAUAAUUAUUAAGCAUCACGAAAAUAAAAAGUAGAAAGUCUUAGAGAUAGGACCUAAAGGAAAAAAUCUUAUGUGAAUGAUCUAUCAAACUAAGAUGAAAAGAGAAAGUAGAAAAAAAUUUAAUGUAUACUAAAAUUUGCUCACACCAUAUGAAUUAUAACUCACUAUUGCAUAACACCUUCUUCACUUUUUUGAAAAUAAAGUAAUGUAACCACGUGAGGUUAUUGGUAGACAAAUUCUAGAUGAGUUAUGAAAUUUUGAGAUUUCAUGGUUAUAGGUUUAUGAAUUUUUAAAAUUUUAUUAAAAUCCAUUGUUAUUGGUUUGAGAAUUUUUAAAUUCCAUUCAAAUCUUUUGUUAUUCAAAAAGUUUAAGUUUCAUUGAUUUUUUAAUUCUAUUAAAUUUUAUUGUUAUUGGGAUGUAAAUUCUCUAUAUUUUAACUCAUAAAACUAGAUUUGGAAAAUAUCAUGUUUACCCGCAAGAUUUGUAAAAUCCAAGUAAUAAAAACACACACACAUACAAACACAUAUUCGACUCAUCUCUUCUCAUCUUUCAUUCAUACAUCAAUGAUGACACUGUAUAUAAAUUUUGAGAAUUUUUUUUUAUUAUGAAGUUGUUUUCCUUUGUCUACUUUUGUUAGUUUUUAAUGUGUUUCUUGAUUAUGCAACUUGAAAGAAGAAGAUACUGGUAAUGUUCUUGUUUUCUUUGUUGUAAAAUUCAAAAAUUCGAAAGUUAGAAGAUAAAAACGUAAUUUGAGAUGAUCUACUCCUUAAGCAAAAUAAAUAAAUAAAUCUACUGUUUGGAAAUUUGGUAUCUCGACGUUUAUAGUGUCUUAAUCAGUUGAGUUUUUACAAAAAUAAAAAUAAAAAGUGUUCUUCACUAACAUUACUCCUAAAGAACCAUCGGAAAGAUAUUGAUAAAAACUAUUAUAUGUCACUAUAUAUUUGUUACCAAAGAAAGGUAGCAAUGUGUUAUAUGUGUAUAUAUAUAUAUAUAUAUAUAUAUAUAUAUUACCUUUUGGAAAAGUUAUUAAAAAACUUGUAUAUAUUACCUUUGAAGGAAUUUGUUUUGAGAAAGAUAUCUAUAAAAAUCUUUGAUAGUCAAUAACAAUCAAUGAGAGUCAAUACAAAAUAUUGAUAAAGUUGAUACAAUAUUUGUUAAAUCUACAUGGUUUUUUUAAAUCUAUCAACUUUAAAAAUGAUCAAACUCCACAUUAGGCCUGAGCAUAAAAUCCGGAACCCGAAAUCCGAACCGAACCCGAACCGAAAAAUCUGACCCGUUAUCCGACCCGAAACGUAAGAAUACCCGAACGGGUCUUGUAGGGUGGUACGAAAAAUAUUCGAACCCGAAGUGUUAUUAACCGAACCCGAACGGGUAACCCGAAAAAUCUGAAAUUAAUAGUCAAUAUAAAUAUUUUGAAAUAUAUAUAAGUAUUCCAAUUAUUAAAUUCAAUAUUUGUGGUAAUAUUAUAUACAAUAAUAAAUAUUAAAAUUCUAAUAAAUGCUUUAAGUACACAAUUAGUUAUAAAUAAGUAUUUUAUAAUUUGCUCAUUGAAAUAAAAAGUCUACUCUCUAUAAGGCAAUACAUAUUUUUUACAAAUGAUGUUUGUUUUCCUGUUUGAUUUAACAUUUUAUUGUUAUUUUAUCAAUUUUAUAUGUGAUAGAUUAAUUUUUAUUUCAAUGAGCAAAUUAUAAAAUACUUAUUUAUAACUAAUUGUGUACUUAAAGCAUUUAUUAGAAUUUUAUCCAAUUUUAUAUGUGAUAGAUUAAUUUUUAUUUAUUUUAGAUGUUUUUCUUUAUGUUUUACUUCAAAAAAUUUGUUUUUUACUUUGGUUAUAUCCUAACCGAACCGAUAUAACCCGAAUCCGUACGAUAUAUGAUUACUUUAUGGGUUUUAUGAUGCAAUACAAUUUUGAACCGAACCCGAUCCGUACUAAUAAAAUUUUAGUAUGAGACCUAGAAGCGUAAACCCAAAAAUCCGAAAACCCGAAAAACCCGACCCGAAUGCCAACGGGUACCCGAACGCCCAUGCCUACUCCACAUAAAUUUUGGUUCCAAUAACUCACGUAGUAUUCUCAAAAUCUUGUUUUGUGAGUUAAAAUGUAAAAAAUUCAACUUCCAAUAAUACUUACUUUAAUUGAUUUGUAGAAUCAUUAAAAUCUAAAACUUUUGAAUAACAAAUGAUUUUGUAUAGAAUUAUAGAAUCAUCAAACCAAUAACAUUAGAUUAUAAUAACAUUAGAUUUUAAUGAGAAUGUAAAAAUCUAUAAACCAAUAACACUAGACUUGAAAAUUCUUAGAUUCAUUAUAAAUCUUAAUUCCCGCUAACACCCCCUAAGAAGACCUAAACAAGACUCAAAGACUAUAUGAAAAUUUCAUGAAAUGCAACCUAAGACUUUAAAAUUGAUAAUAUGAAGAAAAUGAAUGCAAACUGUUAUAAUAGUUGGACUAUUCAAUAAAUAACAUAAACAAAAUUAUAAGUUAUGAUUUAUUAGAGUUUGUGAAAAUAUAGAUAAUUUCCAGUCUAAUUUAAUACUUAAAAAAAUAGAAAUAUUUUUUUUACAAAAAUGAGUUUUAUUCUAAUGUAUCAUAUAUCUCUAUUUUUAUACAUUUUUAAAAUAAAGAAAAUGUUAAUUUGUCUUUAAACAUAGACCAAAUAGCAUUUUUAUAUGUUCUUUCAAAUUACAGAAACUUUAUAUAAUAACAUAAUUGCAGAAACCCAUAUUUAUAAGAAAUAUUCUCAAUAAAAAAAUAUAGAAAAAAUAUAAAGGUGGACUAGAAAUACUCUAAAAGGACUUGAAUUAGCACAUACUUAUGGCAUCAAAAAUCUAUUCCAUGUUGGUAAAGUACAAAUGUACAUCUUUCUAAGGUUUAAGGUUUUGUAAAAGCAAUUUGCUCGUUGCUGUAUUGAGUAAAGAGAUCUAUGGUUCAUGGUAAUAAUCUGGUGACAUUAAAUGAUGAUCAACUUUACAAUAUUAAUAUCCAAAAAAAGUAAACCAAAGAAAAAGUCAGAAAAGUCAGAGUGGUUACUAUCAGCGUUACCAAUUCCGUUUUGUUGUUUAUCAUUUAUUCAGGAAAAAGAAAGUUGGUAGGGUUCCCGGUUUAAUCCAACUUAAUUUCAAUCGGUUUAAUCAACUAAACCAUAUAGACUCAAUCAAAGACUGAAACAUUUCGAGCUCUUAACUCAGAAACACACCGCUUCCUCUUUUUCUAAGCAAUGGGUGGAAACAACAGGCAGAGAUGGUUCUCCUUCCACCAACGCUCCGCUUCCGCCACCGCCACAACCGUGCCGCAACACAAACACGACGAGACUCCACCGGAGUUCCUCUGCCCCAUCACCGGGUUCCUCAUGUCGGAUCCCGUCGUCGUCCCCUCCGGCCAAACCUUCGAGCGCCUCUCCGUCCAAAUCUGCCGCAACUUAGGCUUCGUCCCGGAUCUCCUCGACGGGACCCGACCCGAUUUCUCCGCCGUCAUCCCCAACUUAGCCAUGAAAUCAACCAUCUUCAGCUGGUGCGACCGGAAAAAAAUCGACCACCCUCGUCCUCCCGACGCUGCCUACGUGGAAAACGUGGUCCGCGCCCGGAUGGAUAAAGAUCCGGAUCCGGAUCCAAACCCGGGUCAAGAAUCUCUGGAGCGUGAGAUUCUCCCCCCUGUUGCUGAGAACUCUCCUUCGGAUUACGAUGCUGUGAUGGAACUGAUUCGAGCUCGAUCCAAGAAACCAAUGUCUCCGACAGCUUCUCCGACAGCAUCGUCAGUUGAGUCUGUCACGAUCCGACAAACCCCGUUUUUUCCGACAAGAGCCGUUACGAUGUUCUCUUCCUCCUCAACUACUUCUUCCUCGUCAGGAGCUUACGCUGGAUUCGAUAGUAGCAGUCCUACCUCCGAUUACUCUUCGCCGUCGUCGUCGCCGAUGUCGCCGGAGGAGGAAGAGAUCUACAACAAGCUGCGAGGCGCCGACAUUUUCGACCACGAGCAAGGUCUGAUUCUCCUCAGGAAGAUGACGAGGUCCAGCGAGGAUCUCCGCGUCUCGCUAUGCACCGACAGGAUCCUCUCUUUCCUCCGACAGCUUCUCGUCUCGCGGUACAAUCUCGUUCAGACAAACGCCGCGGCGUCUCUGGUCAACCUCUCCUUAGAGAAACAGAACAAGGUGAAGAUCGUGAGGUCAGGGUUCGUGCCUUUGUUGAUCGACGUGUUGAAGUCUGGAACCACGGAGGCUCAGGAGCAUGUGGCCGGAGCUUUGUUUAGUUUAGCGCUUGAGGAUGAGAAUAAAAUGGUGAUUGGAGUUUUAGGCGCGGUGGAGCCUCUACUCCACGCGCUUCGUUCUUCGGAGAGCGAGAGAGCGCGUCAAGACGCGGCUCUCGCGCUCUACCACUUGUCUCUGAUUCCAAGUAAUAGGACUAGGCUGGUUAGAGCAGGUGCGGUGGCGAGUCUGUUAACGAUGGUUAGGUCUGGUGAGUCUACGAGCCGGAUACUGUUGGUGCUUUGUAACCUCGCGGCUUGUCCUGAUGGGAAAGGUGCGAUGUUGGAUGGAAACGCGGUGGCGAUUUUGGUGGGGAAGCUUAGGGAAGGAGGGGAAGAUGAGGCGGCGCGUGAGAAUUGCGUGGCGGUUUUGUUGACGCUUUGUCAGGGGAAUCUGAGGUUUAGGGGGUUGGCGAGUGAGGCGGGAGCUGAGGAGGUGUUGAAGGAGGUGGAAGAGAGUGGGAACGGGCGUGUGAAGGAGAAGGCGGGGAGGAUUCUACAGGCCAUGAGGGGAGGAGGUGGAGAGAGUGAGUAUGGGGAGACGGAGGCGCGUGAGUGGAACCGUAUGAUUGAAGCUACUGGUCUGAGUCGGAGUCAGUUUCAGGGAGGGCAAAACGGGGGUUUCGCUUGUUCCUCUCAGUUCUAGUUUUUUUUUCUUUUCUUUUUUAUUUUUUUUUAAUGUUUUCUCUUUACAAAUUUUUGGUAAAAUGUUUUCAUUUUGCUUUUUUUUGUUUGAUAUAAAUGGGUGUAUAUUAUUAAUGUGAGUGGACUGUAAUAUGUGAUUAUUGUUUUUGUAAUAUUAAAUGACAAAAUUGAAAUGUCCAUUUGUUUGUAAAGAGAUGUCUAAUGUUUUGCAUUGGUUUUUAUGACCUCUCUUUACUUUUCUUUUUGUUUGAUUAAUGCUAUCUUAUUUUGUAGUUGUAUGUUUUUAUUUCUCCCAUUAGAAUUGAAAUAUUUCUAGAAAAUUGAUUUUUGCAAAGUACAGAGAUGUGUGACCGAGAGAUAAAGAGAGAGGAGAGGACACAUUCAACCUUAGAGGCAAGCAACGUGCGUGUGAUGGGAAAAUAAACAGAUAGAAGCAACUUUUUAGGUAUUAAAUCUCAAGUGGGAGUUUUAGCUUUUGGUCAAAGGUCAGACAGUUCGUGUGGAGAUGUCAUAUGGCAGCAAACUCUGAAUCAUUCUACAAACAUUCCGCGUAUGAUACUAUGAGAUCCAGUAAACAAAUUUCAAUAACCAAUCAUGGUUUAUUGUGUCAAAUUAUAUAUGGACAAAAGGAAGGCCAAAGUAUCGAACAAAAUUAUAGUUUAAUUUAAGGCCUUAAUUUAAUGUUAAAUAUAUAUAUAUAUGACUGAAGACUGAAAAACAUUUCACAUCUGCUAGUUGGCACAAGAUAGGUAUUAGAUCAAACAUUAACAUAUGUUUCUUGUUUGUUCCACUUGGAAAUACACAAUCAUAGGACAACACCGUAUGGCUAUAAAUUAAUGUUAUCCAUAUAUAGGCUUCAUUUGUGACCUACAUGAGCUAAUUGAUUCAUAUACAUGUGACAGUAAGAACAAGGAUUGAUUAUAGAAACUUGACACCUGAUGCACAUAUGGAUCAUUGCAGUUUUUAGCACGCUUAAUGAUUUCUUGGUCCAGUCCUAAUAACUAUUUUAAUAUAAUUGUAAUCCAAAAUUCGAUUAAACGGAGACCGGAAUUCUAUAAGGAUAAAAUCAAAAUAGCAUAAAAUUUUACAAUUUACUAACAUUUAUUAAAGGCAUAACACUCCAUAGAUAAAUACUAAAAGUUGGAGAUCCUUUAUAGGAACGAAAUUAUCACAUUAAUUUUACUAAGAAAUCAUAUAGUUGCUGCUAUUUACAUUUAGUCAAAUUAUACAGAAAAAGAUUUUUUUAUUAAUGAUGAUAGUAAAUUGACUUAUAUUCUUGUCAAAUUUCACUUAAAGGUCGUUUAUUUUACAACUCAAGGUACAUGUGCAAACGAGACGGAUUUAGUAUUGUUUGCAAUUUCCAUGGCUGUCAUCUUCCCAUUCAAACCGCAUUUGUGGUCGUGGUCAGUCAAAACCUUUUUUCAAAUAAUUUUUAUAAUUUUAAUUAUAGUGUAAUGUAACAACUUAAGAAAAAAAAUCACCAGAAAGUUUAUGACUUUAUUUGAAUAAGAAAUUGAUUUUAACUAGCAUAAUUAGUAUCUGCUGAGUUUUAUAUGAUUUAUGUUAUUUUGUGUUGGUAUGUUCGUUAUUUCACAAAAUUGUCGUUAAGUAAUAUAGUGUUAGUUUUGAAUUUAUUUAUUUUUUGGAUAAAAGCUGAAAACCUGAAACAGAAUUGAAAACCAAGGCCGGAGGAUGGAGGGGGGGGAGGAGGUAUGUCUACACAGACUUUUACCCUCUCAUUUUACACUCACACAUAUUUUGGAUUGGUCAUGUGCUUUGUUCUUAUAAUUAAUCCAAAAAGCCCUCGUACUUAAAAAACCUUAUCUUUUUCUCUUUAUGUCUCCAUCGCCGCAAGAUUUCAAUCCAUAAGCCCUCACUCCUCCAACACUCGUGGCUGAAGAAGAUGGUGAUAGUGAUGGUUCUGAAUCAAAUUUUUCGAGGAGCCAUUACCUGCGUGACGCUCACCAUAACAAUAAUGUGAGGUUCUUGAGGAACAUUGCUUGUACGAAGACAACUAUGGGCAGGGGUCAGGUGAACGAUGUGAGAGGUAAGGUGUGGUAUUGGCGGCCAGUUACAGUGGGAGAUGAAUAUACAACACCGUUUCAUGAGUCCAUUAAUUACUAUUUUUUUCCACCAAGUGUUUAUGGUAUGGCCAGAGCAAUAAGAUUUUGUGUAGUGACCAUAAAGAUGGAAAUACACCAACCAGCAGCCUGGAUCUACGGAUUUACCAAUAUCUAGUGCCCACAAUUUCAAGUUGUUUUUGACCACUGACCACAACUACGACUAGGCUAACUGUUACGUUUGUCUUGUGACUAUACCUUCAACAUUAAUCAAUGACCACAAGUCCAACAAGACUUACAAACCGUGACCACGAACUCGGUUGUCAAGUAACCACAAACUAGUGUUUAGGACCGAACCAAUAUUGUAAUCUAUUAUGUUAAAGCAUUUACUUUCUGUUAGGGGCAAUUUCGGCACAAAAAAGACCAACACAUGUCGAAAGUACACUGCAAGCAUAAAGUAUGUUAAAGUGUAAAACUACAAGGGUAAAGUAUGUCAAUGUGAUAUGCUCUCUUCUAUUUGGAUCCGCGGUUGAGCCGGUAAUCCGAAACCUAUAUAACUUGGAUAUGCAUAUGUUGUUCAUGUUUAUCAUAAGCUCUAUUUUAUUAAUUUAAGAAUCGGUAAAAAAACCAAGAAAAACUGAUAACAUUUUAAAAAAAACUUCUGAUGUAUUUUAUAGUAAUACAUAAAACUAUAAACUAUUUGAUUUGUUUUUUAAUAAAUGAGAUUAAUGAGACUUGUUUAGAGUAAAGAGUAUAAUAAAAUAUAUACUCUAUAUUGUGUAUAUAAUUUUCGUGUAGAACAUGAUAUGAUCUAAUAAAUAAAAGUUUAUAUGCUGUAUAACUUUGUUAUGUACAAAAAAAUGUGGCGUAAUAAAUUAUUGUUAGAGAAAUUUUAGAUUACGAAUCGUUAGUCAAAUAUUAUGGUAAGAUAAAAAAUAUUGCUAGUUAAUGAAAGGGUGCAACAACUUUGUUUAGGUACAUUUAUCAGAAUGUUUCUCUUUUAAUAAUUUAGAUAAAUAUAAAUAUUAUUUUAAAGCAUUUUAUUUAAAUUUUACUAAAUAUCUAUGGUCUCUUAAAUUUCACAGUCGACACUAUCGAAAUGAAGCAUCAAUUUCAGACCCAUUUUAUUGCACUCCAGUUUCUACUACCAACAAAGUGAAUCUUCCAUUUACAUGACUUAUAUCUUUUUUUCAUCCCGUAUUUUUUUAUAAUUAUGAAUCAGUUUCUUUCUGCUAAAACAACUUCGCACCAUUUGAAUUACCAAUGCUAGAGUACUUCUGACAAUUUAUUGUCGCAACAUAUGGUCAUUGGUCCAUCAUGUAGUAGACCAAGUUCAGAGAAAAGUCCUCUGAUCCAAAUGAGUUCCUUAGUGAUUGCUUUCAUUGCACGGAACUCAGCUUCGGUGGAAGAGAGUGAAAUAGCAUCUUGUUUCUUCAUUUUCUAACGAAUAGGCAAAGUCCCAAACUGUAUUAUCCAGCCGGUUAGUGAUCGACAUGUGACUGGACAUGCGCCCCAAUCAGCAUCACACCAUCCGGUUACAUGAAGCGUAGUGUUGGCGCGAAAAAGAACUCCUUUAUAUAUUAGUUAAUGUCCCUUAGAAUUUCCGAUGUGGGAUAUAUAUCCCUAAUACCUCUCUUCGAGAUGAUGGCUCUUAUCAGCCAGAAAUCCCGCAGUGAUGGCUCUUAUCGGCUAGAAAUCUCGGAGAUGAUGGCUCUUAUUGGCCAAAAAUCUCGGAACUUUAGGACAGUUAUACUCGGUCGAGCGAGUUAAUUACGAUCUUUUAUAUCCGGUCGGGAAGGGUUAAGUACGACCUAUAAACCCGGUCGGAAUGGUCAUAUUAAUUAGGAGUCUAGGGUAUUUUCAGAUAUGAGCUCUGAUACUAUGUUAGAUUCGGGUUCAUUAUGGGCUUCCAACUUAAAAUCAAUUUGCAAUUAGUGGAUUUGCCAUAACCCUUUAUAUAUUAGUUUUUUGUUUGACGCUGAUUUAUUAUGAUCUUACAAUUAUGAUAUGAGAAAGAUUACAUAGACGAUUCAUCAACCGACAAUACUACAUGUCUUCUGAAGACCUACGCCUAACUGCAUCACCCAAGCCGUCCUAUGAAGAUCCAUUGUAAACAUUUCUUCCGUAGUCUGCAUAAUUGUUUAAUAAAUAGCUCUCUCCGGGAUUUGAAACCUGGAUUUCCUGUAAUCUGCAAUAAAUUGCAUAGUAUGGAAUUCGAACCCCAGACCUGGGUGUAGAAGCCUUUAAACCUUAACUAGUAGGCUACGGUGCUUCCACAUAUAUUAGUUAAUGUCCCUUAAAAUUUUGUGGGAUAUAUAUCCCUAAUAACUUCAGUUUUAUAGAAUAAGUUUUGAAAUGAAAAAGAUACAAAAUUUUAAAGUGAAUUCUAACCAAGAAUUCGAUUUUUUUUUGUUAGGCUAGCAUCAUCUAUAUUGGAAGGUAAAUCUAAAAUCUCUUAUGAUUUUGUUAAUCAUAAAUAUUCUGAUUUCUUUAAAACAGAAAAUAACUAUUGUGUAUAUAAUACAAGUCCCGACUGCAAAAAAUUACUCAUGCAACGGUUACAUCAUAUGACAAGUCAUAAAACAUACGAAAACUUAAUAUUUAAACAACCAAAUGUCAACCCUGAAUCGGAGUUAAUAAAAAUAAGAUCAGACUGAUAACUUAAGUCAUAACUCCUCUACUAAGGAGCUUUCUUGAACCGCUUGCUCUCUGGAAAAUGAUGCCUCUACAAUAUGGAAAACCAUGGAGUUAGUGAGAAAUGGCAUGCAUACAGUUUUUGUCUCUUGUAAAAUCUAUCAAAUUAGUCAUUAAGAAAAAAAGCUUGCCUUUACCCAGAAGAGUUGUAGGUUCUCGGAACGUUCAAAAUGAUCAGUAAUACGCUUACCCUGCUUGCUCAAAUGGUUAGAUAAGGAAACAGUAUUAUUGAUUUCAAAGAAGAGAGAGGAUGCUUACAUUCAGCGCAUGUUUUUUACUAGAGAGAUGCUUCAUGAAUUCAUCCAGGUGUUUGAAAUCAGAGUAGAUCCACCAACCCUUUCAAUACUACUUCCACUGCACUUCCGAAGAAGAACAUGUCUUCUUGUCUCUGAAACUAAUAGAUUUAAGAGAUUAGUUUGGUGGUUAUAUAUAUGAAAGUGAGACAGAAGAGAGGUGUGAAAAAAAGAAAGAAAAAAGCACCUGUAAGUAAGCUAUCCCAGAGCCACUCUGCAGAAGUGACCAAGACUGACAUUUCGCGAGGCCUAAAUGAGUAAGCCAAAAACAGGUUGUACUUAUUGCUUUGUAGUAGAUGGGGAAGAAAAUCUGAAAAGGCAUCAUCAGCCUCAUCGGAUAUGAUCAUCAUUGUAGCCGGAGUAGGAUUGUUAUAUUGCCAUUCAUCAAUAUCAUCAGAGAUGCGGCCGUUCACGACUUCUGUUUUGUUUCAACAAAAGAAAGAAAGCAUGCAUUUUCAGUAUUAAUUUUUUGUAACCAAAAUGUGACUAACUAACUAACCAAGAGUGGCAUGUGCAACAUCGAUUCCAGUGGAAGAGAGGGCUUGAAGGUGGUGUUGAGGGGUUUGUUUAUGGUCACCAUAGGCAGUGAUGGAGACAGGACCAGAGUAGCCUAGUUCCUUGAAGGCACCUUCCAAACUGGGACGGAUCCGACGAGCAUCAUAACCGUCGGGAAUAGGACAGUCAAACAGGUCCCACAAGACAUGGAUUUUAGCUGUCGCAAAUUCAGGCGUGGCAGCGUAGUUCUUUCCCCACUUGCUCGUUACAGAUUGGAGUUGUGAAUCAUCAGGGCGUAAAAUCUCCUGCAAAAAAAAAAACAGAGUUAAAACAGUUAAAACAAUGAAUUGAUACAAUAAGAGAGAGAGAGAGAGGAUGGUUACUUCGAGUGCAUGCUUUUUAGUGGAGAGAUGCUUCCUGAAACUCUUGAGGCUUUGGCGAUCCAAAGAGCAAGAUUUGCAAUAAAACUUAGCAGUGCUUGUCUUAGUUAGUAAUUUUUCCCAGAGCCACUCUUUGCGAGUGCACACGAACAAUGCUGCGCGAGGUUCGACUGAAUAAGCCAGAAAAAGGUCGUAACACGUGCGUUGUUGUAGCCGAGACAGAUCCCAAUUGAAGACAUCUAACACCUGAUUGGAUAUUAUCAUCAUUUUAGCCGGAGGAGGAUUAUCCUCUCGCCAUUUCACCAUAUCCUUAUACAUGACUGCGCACGUGCAUCCUAUUUCAUUACCAUAUAUUAUUAUUUAUUAUUGACUAAAAAGGCCAUACAUAUAUAUAUAUAUAUCUUCUGCAGAUACUUCUUAUAAGACCAUGAUUAACCCGGAUUUCUUAGAGUGAAGUUCUUAGCGGAAGUUAAGAAACUGUUUAUUAACUUUUUUUUAUCUUUUUUAGUUAAAAGCUAGAAAACAGUUUCUUAACUUCCACUCCUAAGAACUCCGGUUAAUCAUGCUCUCGUAUAACAAAAGAAAAAACUGGACUAACCAGAUCUGGUAUGUACCACAGCGACUCCAGUGGAAGAUAGAGCUCGUAGGAGGAGGUGUUCAGGGGUUUGUUUUUGGUCUCCAUAGGCUGUGAUGGAGACAGGACCAGUGUAGCCUAGCUCAUUGAAAGCUCCUUCCAAACCGGGACGGACCCGACGAGCUUCGAUACCCUCUGGAACCGGACAGUCAAACAUGUCCCACCACACCGCUAUUUUAGCCGCAGCAUCAUUCCCACCCAUUUUCUCUACACCUUUUAACAGAUCUCGUUUCUACCCACACACAGGGUUUUUCUUUUUAUAUAUGUUAGUCGUGUUCUUUUAGAAGACGCAGACGCAUGGGUUAGCGAUCAACAUCAAAAUAAAUAAAAAGAUGGGAGAAAAUUAAUUAAGCAGACGCUGCAGUUACUUCCGUUAAGGUUUCUGGUGUUGUGACCGACGCUGUAAAAAGUAGCGGCGGUUAGAAUGAUCGCUGCGAUUAUUUUUGAUAGGCAAAAUCACCGCCGCCGGUGUCACUUUCCAGAUGUGUGAACAAGAAAAUAGUUAUAAAUUGGGUCGUUAGCCGCUGCGUCAGCGUCUUUCAAAAGAACACGGUUGUUGCCACCAAACUAUUGGGCCUAACUGAAACCCAUUAAACGUAUGGGCUUACGAAUUCAGAUAAAUUCGCUUUUUCCUUAUGUCAACAUUUUAGAAUUAGUAUAAGAAUAAAUUAAUCCAAUAUAAUGGGGGUUAUUUCUUUAAUAAACGUUAUGGAAAAAGAACAAACAAGUAAAAUAUACUAUUAAAAGUGUGCUUUGUACCGACCAUUCUUCGUGCGUCGUUUUUUCUUUGUUUUAGGUGGUCUUGGACCUCUUGGUGGUUCUCGCGGUGGAUAUUACAUAAGUUUGGGUAUUGUUUUUUUCCAGCUCAACAAGCAAAGAGUGAGAAAUACCUUGAGAGAUCUGAAGCGAGGGUCUGAGACGAGAGAGAUAGACAUCACCCACAUACAUUUUUUGCUGAGGCCCCGUCUAUUCAUACAAGCUUUUUCUGUGUCGGUUAUGAAUGCCUGAGAUGGAAGAUUAUGGAUUUUGUACUAUUUUAUGUUUUAUUUUACUUUAUUAUGUAUUAAAAAGUCAAUUUUUUAAUAUGAAAGCCUAUUAUAAAGAAAGCAUGUUACGUAUCAAAAUAUUCAUCCAAUUACAACACAUAUUUUUAUCACCGCACAUGCAUAUGCUAUAUGUAUUACAAAAAUCGUUUUACGUAUUCGGUUGAUUAAUUAGCUUGCAUUUGCGUUUUUAGAUAUACUAUAAUUUUUAAGCUGAUUUUCUAUUUUCAAGAAUUUACAUAGAAAAUUGUAAAAUCUGACAUGCUCGAAAUAUUGUAUAUAUCCGAACUCACGUAUACAGAAUUAUAGAAGACACAGAGAGACUAGAGAGAGAAAGUUUGAUUAGUGGUGGCCGGUCGACGGUGAGGCUCUCUCAGCCACCAUCGGUACACGGAGUCUUCUUGAAGAUGUGUAGUCGGCUUCGACUCCGGUGGUUCGCGUCUUCAAGAUGGAGCUAUCCGGAUUUUGGUUUCAUGGAGGUGAUUCGGAAGUGGUGGUUCUGUGGUAAACGGGUGUAGGAGGUGAUUCGGAAGUGGUGGUUUCGUUUGAUGACGAAGGCUUUGUCUUUGGGUUCCGUUGGUGGUUCCCGAGUGGUGUCUCGACGGUUUUCAGAUGAAGAUGUUUGAAGCGUGGGUGAUGGACUCUGUUUAUAUGGGUUGCGGUCGUCUUUUCUAUGAAGACGGAGGUGUUUAGUUCUCUGAAUCUCGGCUUUAUUGCCGUUUGUGGAAUGGUUAUGUUGGAUGGUGACGGUGGUUGGAUGUAUCGGAUGAGAUCUCGUCAUCAGACGAUUUGAAGCUCUCCGAGGGAUGGUGAUUUAGAUCUGUGAAGUUUCUUCUCUUGUGUUUGUGGCGUAUGGUGUUGGAUGAGAUCUCGAAGUGUCUCGAUUGAAGCUCUCUAAUGCUUGGAACACAAGAGAUGAAGGAAAGCUGUGAAGUUGGUGGUUCGAAUCUGUUCCCGGCAGAUAUUCCGGUGUUGUUCAGUCGUCGUUCAUUCCCUCCGGCGUAAAGCUCAGGUCGGUGAAGGAAUGGAGGCGGUUUCAUGCGUCGACGCGUGUCUUCCUUCUUCGCCUCCGUCAUACACGUGGUGUGUACGUGUGCUUUCGUGGGGUGUUUAGUUUGAGCUUUUUGUUGGGCCUCGCUCUUGUGUUUUAUGUGUGUGUCCGCUUUGGACUUUGUGUUGUUUUUAUCUUGGGCCUGGUUUAUGGACCUCUCCUGUAUUAUGUUUUUUUUUGUUAAUAUAAAUACUAGAUGGCAAAAAAAAAAACUCACGUAUACAGAAAAAUAAAAAAGCUCCCAAAAUCUUGAUAUGCUCGACAUUUUUGUUUUCAAAAUUAUUUUAUAUUUCACAUGACAAAUGAGUAAGCAUAGCAAUUAUUACUUUAAUAAUUUAUAACCUCCAACACAAAGUUAC
RNAcentral lists this long non-coding RNA (51007 nucleotides) under Brassica napus (rape). RNAcentral's name for it is "long non-coding RNA (BNAP_LNC019543)". The record is from RNAcentral. Lineage: Eukaryota; Viridiplantae; Streptophyta; Magnoliopsida; Brassicales; Brassicaceae.